This 87301-nucleotide long non-coding RNA is filed under the name Prunus persica (peach). RNAcentral describes it as "long non-coding RNA (PPER_LNC004939)". The record is from RNAcentral. Lineage: Eukaryota; Viridiplantae; Streptophyta; Magnoliopsida; Rosales; Rosaceae.
GGGGCUUUUCGCUGAGCCUGAACUAUGUGCACUCUUUUUGCCCGUCACAAACUCGCGCGGAGGCGUGUACGGAGGCUCAGGAGGAAUGCAAAUCCUCAAACAAAUUGUGGGAGCCCUAUUUAUCAUUGGAUGGAAUCUUGUGGUCACCUCCAUUAUUUGCCUAGUCUUACGGUGUAUAGUUCCGUUGCGCAUGCCGGAGGAACAGUUGCUGAUUGGGGAUGACGCAGUGCAUGGAGAAGAGGCAUAUGCAUUGUGGGGUGAUGGGGAGAAGUAUGAUGUUACUAGGCAUGAGCUUUACUCCGAUGAUACGUCACACGCUCAAAAAUAUCCAUCCAGUGGUGCCACUCAGGUGGUCUAACUCAAAGUUAUAUAUUAUUUAUGUUCAUAAUCUGUUCUAAAAAAAAAAAAAAGGGGCCAAAAAUGAAAAGAAGAAAAAACGAAGUACGAAAAAUAGGUGUUAUUGUCAAUUAUUAUCUUAUUNNNNNNNNNNNNNNNNNNNNNNNNNNNNNNNNNNNNNNNNNNNNNNNNNNNNNNNNNNNNNNNNNNNNNNNNNNNNNNNNNNNNNNNNNNNNNNNNNNNNCAAAGAGGGAUUCAAUUAAUGUGUAAAUAGACAUCAGUUGAAUCCAAAGUCAAAUUCAAAGAUAUUUAACCCCAAUUUAUAGACCUUAACUAUGUACAAAUGGUUCAGCCCUAAGGAAAGAGAGAAAAUCCUAAGGAACCCCUUGGGGUCAGUGGCCUCCCUCCCUCCCUUCUCCACUAGUUCUUCCCUAUUCUCCUAUCCUCCCCUCCCCUCCCCUCUCCUCUCAUCUCCUUACCUCCCUAUUCCCCUCGAUACUUCUUUGUUUUUUUUGUUUUUUUUUUGUGGUGUGAAAUCAACUGUUGUGAAACGAUAUAGUCGUCAUGAUAAUUGGCAUCUUUCAACCCACGUACAUGAGAAUUUGGCUCCAUUUGUCAUCCUUCGACAUGGUUUAGAGCCACAAGAUGGGAAAAAUGUCGGGCUGCAUCGCGUUUGGGUUUAACCGGUGACGCUGUGGCUCUCUUCCGACUGUCGAGGAUGUGGAGCGGUGGCCUUGCUUCUUAAUUUAUUUUUGGCUAAUAAUUUCCAUGUUUCCAUGAACUGUAUAGCAAUUUGAUGUGUGUGUGUGUUUAUUUAUUUAUGUUUAGGAGGUUUUAUUUCUUUUUAGCUUUUACGGAUCUGUCAUUUGCUGAUGCGCAGCGAAUUUGUAUUACAGGUUCGAGUAGGUGUACUUUUGGUUGUUGAGUCUGGGAUUAUAGUAAUUUUGUGGAGAAGAUUCAUAUCGUUGUUGCAUUUCGUCACUGGAGAAGAUUUAUCAAUAUUCAGAACCAUAAUUGCUUUGUACUUUUUUCAUAAAAAAAUUAUUAUCGAAUAUUCAUAAGGCAUUUAAUUCCCUUUUUCUUGAACAGUUGGUCAUCUAUGUUGCACGGGUAUGUUGAUAUGAUACGAUAAGAUUCACCGAUAAGGCAAAAUUUCAAAAAACUACGAUACGGGUACAGCAUCAAUACGGCGAUUAAAAUAAUAUAUAUUUAAAAAUAAUAUAAAUAGAAAAAAUCAAUAUUACAUCCAUCAUGUCAUAAUCAUCCAUCAGAAGUGCAAAACAUAAAACUAAACACAAAAUACAAGUCUUCAUAGGAUUGUUCAAAUCAUACAAAAAAGAUAUAUAAAAAGCAACACAAAAACAAAUUAAAACAUUGAGAAGCCACUUCUCAAAUUUCUAACUUCAUUCAUCAUUAUCAUCGCAGGUAAAUAUGAUUGCUUCUAAUUCCUUCUUCCUAUUUCUUCUUCUUUUAUAGUUAUUCUCUCCCAAAUAAAAUGAAGACCUAGCUUCUAUCAAGAAGAAGAGGCUGAGUGUUUACAAAUUGAGUUUUUAAAAUUAACAUUAUCAGAAGACAAUAGGAGUAUCGACAUAUCGGAUAUGAAUAUCGGAGUAUCAGAUACGAGCACACCCCUCUAGUUAAGAGUAUCGGUGCAACAUAGUUGGUCAUUAAGGUCUACAAGAAUCGAUUAAAUGUCUUUCCAACGAUCAAGUUUUUUCUAGUUUUUGGAAAUACUUAUUAGUGUUGUUUUUGCAGCCAAGUUAUUUUAGUUAUGUGAUACAAAUUGUAUAGAAAAGUGAGAAGUAGAGAAAGACAAUAAAGCACCUGUACUGCUAAUUACCAUAAUAAGUGUAUAGGUUACAAAACAUAGAAAUUGUGGAGAUUAUAAACUUCUGUAAAAGAAAACGACACGAUUUUAAUUUGCGUGUUUAUGUUUUUUUUUCUUUAAAGAAACUAUUUUCUAACCUUAAAAAGAUCCAAAUAUACCACUAAAAGUAGGUUUUUUAUUUGGGGGGAAUAGAUGCUUUAUUAAAAAUAGUGUAAUGCUACACUUACCACAUUUUUAUCCCACAUUUCUAUAUCGCAUGAUGUGGCAUACCCAUAUUAUAUGUCACAUCAAUUAAAUCAAUGAAGUGUAUUUUAAUUAAGACAAUUAGAAAAACAAAUAUUAGAAUAAAUCAUAAAAGAAAAAGAAAAUAUUAAAAGACAUAAACAAAUGCAUAAAAAAAUUAAUACUAGCUUACUAAUAUUACUAUUAUUACUAUAGCCCCUUCACUCGCGCCUGAGGAUGAGGAGAUGGAAAUCCUGAGUCAUUAGGAACUCAAAGAAGCCAAUAUUUUAUUGGGCAAUUUCCAAGACCAUGGCCAAGCACAAAAAAUGAGACCAAUGCUGCAGGAAAGAAACAAAUGGAUAUUGGACCAAAGGCUUGUUGCACUAAUAAGUUCGGGAGCUUCUAUAGUGAGUGGAAAGUUAUAAGGGGUGUUUUUGAGGGGUAUGUAAGAGCCGUUGGAUUUCAUCCAAUAGUGAGUUUUGAAAUCUAACCCGUUAGAAACCCAACUUCAGUUGAAGAUCUUCCCCUCUUUCCCUCUCUGUGAAAAACUCAAGAACACAAUCCUCUCUUUUUGAAUGUAAAGUAAACCCACAAUUAGAAGGAUCCAAAUCUCCCAAACCUUAUAGUCACUCGAUUGUCAUUAGCUCCUUGGGAGGCCUGCGAUCUAUGAUAUCCUCGGUAUUACAAAGAAUGGCUCUUACCUAGCUGUUGCCCUGUUUUGAUUCUAUGGCUCAAGUGAAAACCCCUUCUCUUUUUCAUUCAGCUGAUAAGAUUCCAGAUGAAAGCAAAGUAGCAUAUCUCUUUUUGUAGCCAGACGCCGCAGCAGCAGUUGUUCCUCGAUUUUGGUAGAGAUGGAGUCUCAAAUACCAAAGAGUCUUCUCUAAUGUCCACUACAUUCUCUCAAGCUGACUGACUUCAGAGCUCCCGAUUGAUUUUGAGAGGUAAGUUCACUUGCUGGAUUGAUUUUAUUGGGGUUGGUUUAUUUUUUGUGAGGGUGGGAAAUUCGUCAUUUGUGGCAUCAAUAAUGCGUCAUUUUUGGAAUCAAUAAUGUGUCAUUUCCUUAUGAAUAUUCAAUAUACUUAGUUGAUUGUUUUUGGUGGGGGUGGAAAAUUAUGAAAUGUAGGUAAAAGAUCCUAAACUUAGGCUUAAUGACAUUAGGAGUAAGCAUUUGGAGAGGAUAUUGGAUGAAGUUCUGUAAUUGGUGGUUUGAAUUACAUUUGUGUUCUUAGUUGAACAUGUUGGUUCUAAUGUUAUUUUUUCCAGAUUAUUUCACAAGAGAUGACGUAACUAUUAUUAAAUUUUGCUUGCGUUUUGUGUAAUCGGAAGUUAUGCUAUGCGUAUUUUGUGUCAAUUUGGGCAAUGUUUUGUGUAAGUGGAAUGCAUUGAUAUGUUGUGAUGCAGUAAUGACUGAUUAAUGAAUUAAUAUUUGCUAUGCAGUAAUAUAGAAGUGGAUCAAUAAUAUACGUAGAUAAAAUGUCUGGGGGCUCAGAGAGUGAUGAAUGUGCAACAGCUAAUGGGAGGGUUUAUAUUCCUGAAGUAAGAAAUGAGGAAACAUCAGCAGUUGGGAUGAAGUUCGACUCGCUUGACCUCGUUUACAAUUUCUAUAAUAGAUAUGCAUUCUUGGCUGGCUUUGGUAUUCGACUUCAUUCCAGCUUUUGGGGGAAAAAUAAGAAAGAGAUUUUGAGGAAAGAAUUUGUAUGUUGCAAACAAGGUGUAUACAGGAGAGAUGAAACUCGGGAGAGAAAAAGACAACGGGGAAUAAGUCGAUGCAAUUGCAAAGCUAAGAUUGUGGUUGUGAAGACAAAUGGGAGCAAGAAGUAUACCAUCUUUCUUUUUGCAGAGGGACACAAUCAUAAGAUGACACCCUCAGAAAGAAUGCAUUUAUUGAUAUCACACCGUCAUAUUUCAGAUUCUACAAAAGUACUCACAAAACAGUUGGGUUCAGUUAAUAUUCCCAUUCAUCAGAAGGUAAGUAUUUUCGAGGUGCAAUCCGGAGGAAUGGAUAAAAUCGAUUUUAUCAAAAAAGAUAUCUACAAUCUUGAAUGUAGUGUGAAUGGGAAGCUAAGGAACCACGAUGUUGAACUAGUGACCGAGUAUUUUAUGGCUGAACAGAAAAAAAAAUGAGGCUUUUUAUUUCAAGAUUGAGGGAGAUGGCCAUGACAGGUUUAGUCGAUGUUUUUGGGCAGAUGCAACUUCUAGACGGGCGUAUGGGUUUUAUGGAGAUGUUGUUGUAUUCGAUACCACAUUCAACACGAAUCGAUACGACUUGACAUUUGCACCAAUGUUGGGAGUUAAUAACCAUGGUCAGACAAUUGUCUUAGCAUGCGCAUUUUUGAGCAAGGAAACGACUGAGUCGUUUGUUUGGAUGUUUGAGGAGUUUAAGAAAGCCAUGCCAGGUGGCGAACCUAAAACGAUCAUUACAGAUCAAGAUGCGGCAAUGGCCAUAGCGAUUUCAAUAGCCUUCCCGACUACAUUUCAUCGACUUUGCAUAUGGCACAUCACAUCAAAGUUCUCUGUUAAGUUACCACAUUCUGCUUAUUAGGAGUAUUGGCGUGAAUUUCAGAAAGCCAUAUGGGAUACUGACAAUAAGGAUGAGUUUGAUGCAAAAUAGAAUAUUGUGGUUACAAAGGCUGGUUUGACUGACCAUCCAUGGCUAAGUUCAAUGUUUGAUUUAAGGGAAUCUUGGGUUCCAGCCUACGCACGACAAUUUUUUGCCGCUGGAAUGUCAAGCAGCCAAAGAGCAGAAGGUUCUCAUCGUUUUUUCAAGCAAUACAUAUCAAGGAGAAAUUCGUUGAUGGAUUUCAUAAUACGAUUUGAGAGGGCAUUUUCUCAUCAACGUGAAAAACAGUUAGUUGAUGCAUUUGAAGUGGCUCAAUGUAUUCUACCGAUGCCAAUGAACAAACAAAUGGCUACCUUGUACACAAGGACAAUGUUUCAAAAGUUUGAGCAAGAACUAAUACAAAGUACAGCAUGUUUCCUGGAGCUCAAAACAGAGGAUGCUUCUAAAGUUGUCUUUAACGUGAGCGAAAGGAAAAAUUGGGAAACAAGAGUGGCAGAAAUCGUAUAUGUCAAAGAUUCUGACCACGCAUCGUGUAGCUGCAAAAGAUUUGAAUUUGUUGGAAUUAUUUGCAAGCACAUCCUAGCAUUGUUCAGAAGGGACCAGAUUGAAUAUAUGCCUGAUAAAUAUAUUUUGAAGAGGUGGAAGAAAACUGCGAAAUCUGGAUUGGUGUCAGAUGCAAAUGGCAACGAAAUUAAAGACUGUGCAGAUCCUGGUCUUUUAAUAAAGCGGUGUACAAUGUCUCGACUUGCUUCAGAUGUGGUUGAGGAUGCAUUAAUGAGUGAAGAAGGAUGUGAGCUACUGUCAGAGACUUUAAAAAGUUUGCAGGUGAAGUUGAAGUUGUUGAAGAAUGGACCAAGUAAUAACGAAGUUGGAGGGUCCAGCUCUCAAACACAAUAUAUGAAAGACCCUAAGAGAGUGAGGUGCAAAGGAAGGUCGAAAGGAGUAACGGGAGCAAAGGAAAAGGCAAUGAAGUGAGGGAUUAGACAUUGUCGAGAGUGUGGACACAUUGGUCAUGAUAGAAGACAAUGCCCAAGAAAUUUGAACACACCGUAAGAUGCUAACACUAUUUAUAAUAACAUCUAAAAUUUGAAUAGGGAAAUUUUUUAUGUGCUUGUGUUUGAUGUUUAUGCAGGACAUCACUGUCGAACAAUGACGAAUCAACUCCAAUAGAUUGUAGUGGCCCAUUAUUCGACGAAUUUGACAGGAUGCACUGACCAACUGAAUGAUUUAUGUUUCUAUUAGACGAAAUCUGGUUGUUAUGAAGAUUAAUGAUCAGGUGAAGUUUUCUAGAUUCAGUUUUUGAUUAUUGUUGUUUUUUUGUUCAUGUCCACCGAUGAGCUCUUACUAUGUCCACUGGUAAUUGAAAUGAAAAUUUGCUUGGUUUCAUUCUUGCAUGAAAUUUGGACACAUGUUAAUUUUACAUCUUCUCCCUAUUUAGAAAUUUUCAUAGACAUUUGAUAAAGUAUGAAAUUUUGAGUUAUGUGAAGAAGCAAUGACUUUUACCAUGUAAAAUGGGUAGUUUAGGGUGAAUUAUGUUUUAACAGAGAUUCAUUGAUUAUAUCACAAGCUAAUGCAGCAUUUCCAGCAGCCAGCUGUUGUUUCCAUUACCAGUAAUGAUUUCCAGCAGUACCCACUUUUUCCGACUGGUUAUUAGGGGCACGAUUUUGUAAACAUUUGUAACUGAAGGAUACUUGAAGCACUUUGUUGGAACAGAGCGAAUAGAAAGCAGUGUGUAAAAAAGAAAAAGUACAUUGCAGCUAAUUACAUUUCGAACGGUUGGAGAAUAUUAAAGGGUACACUAACUUACAUAACUACUCAUAAUUCCACACACAAAAGAAAAUUUGAUUGCAAAACAUAUUAUGUGCUCCCUCUUAGCAAUACCACGAUCUCCCCAACCAACUGAACAACUGUAGCCACAAUCACUCGGUCGCAUUGGUCAGCUUCUUCUUAGCAGGUCUCACAUGCUUAUGGUCACUCAUGUCCCUAGUGAUAUAGACGAAAUAAAUCUUCAACAAUAUUUGGAAUUUUAUUAUAUAUAAAUAAACUAUAAACCAUUCACUAAACAAUGUAUAGCACAUGUUAUGUUACUUAUGACUCACGUGUCAGUUUUUUUUGAGAAAAAGUACGCCAGCUCUUUAAUGUGAAUGGACAUGAUAAUGAGACUUUACUGAUUCCCAGCUUGCUGUGAUAUUCACUGCUUAUUGAAUAAUAUUUCGAUAUUUGCAAAAUAUAAUGUUAGACAGAAGGAACACAUGAUGACUUGCAAUACAUAGUCCCAAUAAUCAUAUAUGAAGCAAAUGAAACUGAUAUUUGUGUUUUAUUGAAAUGAAAAUGACAUUAAGGGAAUAUACUUCUAAUUUGUGCAAUACCACGAUCACCCUCAACGAACUAAACAGCGGUAGCCACAAUCACUUAGUCGUAUCGGUCGGCUUCUUCCGAGCAGCUUUGACAUGCUUAUGCUCAUUCAUGUCACCACCAUCAUCUAGUAUCUCUCUCACAGCAUCAGGGGACACAUAGUUCCAAUCAUAACUUGUAUGAGUAGUUGCCGCAAAUGCUCGGAAUUUGUCGAAUCCUUCGUUGAUUGCCAACUUCAGUUCACUAUGGUGCUCUUCGCAUCGCAUAUGGUUCAUCAAACAACCUUUCAUUUCAUCAUUCAUUACUGUAUCCAACUCCUCAGCUUUCAGCUUCCUUUUAUGACUCAGCUUCAAGUACUUGUUCUUUUGGGAGAACGCUUUGUUCACUCUAAUGUUAAGAUCAGCCAAAAUUGCCUCGUCUUCAACACAUUUCUCAUGCCAUGAAUUGAUCAGUCUGGAAUUAUAAUCCAGCUUGCCACUGACUGCAUGUAUUGCCUCUAAUGGAUCAUCGGAGUCCCCCUCACUCCCAAAUGAUGUUGAAAAAGGAAGGGGUCGGUGAGUACAAUGUGGAAAUAGAACCUGUGACUCCAAUUUGUCAUCUUCGAUUGUGUUGUUGGCGCCUGAAGAGGUUGACAUGCUUGAAUAAUCCUCUUUGUUUUGGGAGGAUGAGGAUUGCAUAUGCAAUUUCGUUUGAGAAAGGGAACAUAGGUUUAUAGACCAACAUAGCAAAGCUUGUGUGUAGUCAACAUAUGUACUUGUUUUCAAUUUUUAAAAAAAGAGGUGUCAGGUUUUGCUUUUCAAGCAUGUCAACCUCACACUCUCCUUACACCACUGAUAGUGGUUGAAAGAAACUCAAUGGAAGUGACAUCUAGUUAGUGAACUCAACCAAACUAGUUAGGAUUAAACUUAGAUUGUAUCAGACCAAAAAUUAAUUUAUACAUUGUCAACCAAAUAUUUUUUGGCGGGAACCCUUUUAUUGGUAUUACUAUCACCCCUUUCAUAGAAAUACUCCUUCCACACAAGACUCACUCCUCCACCGAAUCUGUCUCCAUCUACUGAAACUCUCUCCUCCAUAGAAACUCACUCCCCCCGUAGAAUGGAUUUACUAACCAAGUUUGAUGUGAGCAUAAUAAACACCCCUCCAAACAAAGACCGUCUUCGAAACGCAAGUGAGUCACCAGACAAGCAAUGUCACAUUCCUAGAUAGAAUGACCAUUUUGUUGGAAGUUUUGAGUCUGAAAGAGUUCUUGCUUUUUGGAAGGAGAGGCAUCUUCAACUUGGUGAUGAAAUCCAAAGGGCAAGGGCACGUUUGAAAUUUGUUGAAGGCCAAAUUGAAGAUGACAAAAGGCAGGCCAAUCUGGAUAGGGCGAAGUUGCAGCGCAUGAAGCGUAGACACAAACAACUUCGGAGUGUAGCUAUUCAAAAAUACAAGAACUCAUCUAAUGCAAUAGAGUCAAAGAAGCGUGUGAUGCAAGCUGGAUUCGACUACUUCUGAUCCUAUGCAAAACUCGUCGUACCCGGGUUUGAUUGGUCAUCUAUUACCGUUUCCGACGUUAACAAAUAUACUCAGCAAGGGAAUUAACCAUUUUGGUUCUCGUGUUUGAGCAGAGGCAAAUCAGUGGAAUUGGAAUUUUUGUUAAACUCUGCUUCAAACCUAUUUUAAUGCUUACUACUAUGGAAGAUUUCAACCUUAAUAUUUUGAUGUCUUUAAUUACGAUAACACAAGACGCAAAGAGCCCAUCUACUUCAGUCAUGUGUUGCUGCCAUGUCCAUUUUUUUUUUAUCACGUAUCAGAUUUGGACAUGGUUGCAUCAUAUGCAAUGUUGCCUUUAUUUAUUAUAUGUUAGGAGAGUUUAUGGAAAAGCAUUUGUGAGUGCGUUUGUGACAAGGUUAUGGAAUUAUUAUGUACCAUUUAUAUAUUAAUUUUUGUACUGGUUCAUCCCCUACUAUUUCUUUCUUUCUUUAUAUUAUAUAUUUGUGGAAUCCCUCUCAAAGUUAACAUAUACUGUGAAAAAAAUGCAGACUGAAUAUAUAAUCACUCAUAUAGACUAGGACAAAUAUUCAUUAAUAUUUUAAAAUUGCUUCACUUGUGUGAGGUUUUUCAGAAAAAGUAUGGCAUUAUUUUAUGUGAUUGGACAUGAUAGAAAAUAUAUUACUGAUUCCCAAUGCGGCGUCAUAUGGACAACUUAUUGAAUACCUCUGACGUGUUAAAAGCUCUAGGUGCAGUUGUAUGUGGACAACUUAUUGAAUACCUCUGACGUGUUCAAAACUCUAGGUGCAGUUGCAUGUGGACAACUUAUUGAAUACUUCUGAGGUGUUGAAAGGUCUAGGCGUAGUUGCAAUGAUGGCUUCAAAGCAUGUGCAAUUAUUAUAUAUGUAUAUUAUUAUAAGCCACAUAUUAUUUUAUAUAGGGAAACUAAUUCUUGUAUUAUUACAAAUUAUAUAAUGAAUAUUAAGGAAAUAUACUUGUUAAAGUGAAUUAGGGUUAAGAGGAAAGUGAGUUAUGUAAAAAUAAUUUAGAUUUUUUCAUUGCGAAACGGAUGAUUUAUAGGUUCCUCUAGUUUUAUAACGUCACAAGGAGGCCGGAGUAAUUUUCGGGGCAUUUUUAGGAUUUUCCUACUAUUUAUUACCUAUUUUCACAGAUUGUUGCACUAAAAAAGCCAAAAUAAUUGUAAGAGGACACCUGGCGCGAUCUCAGCCCGUCACCUUUCACCACUUGCACAAGUGUACGUAAAUCAACAUGGCCACAUCCUCGCCUUUUACCAUAAAUUAUUAUUUUAUUACUUUUCCUUAGAAAAUUCAUAACUAAAUACACAAAAAUUAAAAAAAUGAUCCGAAAAUUGCUACGAACUCAUUGACACUCCAUCUCCCUUGCUGAAUUCUCCGAUUCAUUGUUAUGCAUUUUAAAAAAUUAUUCCGAACAUUAACGGGAAAUGUCCGUUGAAGUAGGUUAUUGAAGUUUAAGUUAACAAACAUAUAUACUUAGAGUUAAGAGGAAAGUGAGUUAUGUAAAAUUAAUUUAGAUUUUUUCAUUGCGAAAUGGAUGAUUUAUAGGUUCUCCUAGUUUUAUAACGUCACAAGGAGGCCGGAGUAAUUUUCGGGGCAUUUUUAAGAUUUUCCUACUAUUUAUUACCUAUUUUCACAGAUUUUUGCACUAAAAAAGCCAAAAUAAUUGCAAGAGGACACCUGGAGCGAUCUCAGCCCGUCACCUUUCACCACUUGCACAAGUGUAUGUAAAUCAACAUGGCCACAUCCUCGCCUUUUACCCUAAAUUAUUAUUUUAUUACUUUUCCUUAGAAAAUUCAUAACUAAAUACACAAAAAUUAGAAAAAUGAUCCGAAAAUUGCUACGAACUCAUUGACACUCCAUCUCCAUUGCUGAAUUCUCCGAUUCAUUGUUAUGCAUUUUAAAAAAUUAUUCCGAACAUUAACGGGAGAUGCUUGUUGAAGUAGGUUAUUGAAGUUUAAGUUAACAAACAUAUAUACUUAGGGUUAAGAGGAAAGUGAGUUAUGUAAAAUUAAUUUAGAUUUUUUCAUUGCGAAACGGAUGAUUUAUAGGUUCUCCUAGUUUUAUAACGUCACAAGGAGGCCGGAGUAAUUUUCGAGGCAUUUUUAGGAUUUUUCUACUAUUUAUUACCUAUUUUCACAGAUUUUUGCACUAAAAAAGCCAAAAUAAUUGCAAGAGGACACCUGACGCGAUCUCAGCCCGUCACCUUUCACCACUUGCACAAGUGUACGUCAGUCAACAUGGCCACCUCCUUGCAUUUUACCCUAAAUUAUUAUUUUAUUACUUUUUCUUGGAAAAUUCAGAACUAAAUACACAAAAAUUCUAAUAAUGUUCCGAAAAUUGUUACGAACUUAUUGAGAUUUCAGCUUCCUACUGAAUUCCCUGUGUCAUGGUUAUGCUACAUUAGUAUUUUAUUAUUAUUUAUCCUAAAUUAAUUUAAUUAUUAUGAUAUUACUUUUUAGGCUGUCCAUGUGUUAAUUAUAUUUACUCCAACUUUUUUAUUAAUUUUUAUUUUCCGUGCGAAUAGGCCAUUUCUGGUGCUAAUCGGUUUCUCUCUUCUUCAAUUUGUUAAUUUUUUAAUUUUUUAGGUUGAAGGGAUGUUUUGAAAAAUAAAAUGAAAAUAUACAAGUCAUCCAUUGUACAACAUCAGGAAAAAAUUAUUCAACGUCAUUCACUGUUCAAGUUUUGCUUAAGAAACGUGUAACCAAAUCAUUUGGGAUAUGCUAAGUGGGAAAAUGUCAUUCCCAAGCACUGGUGAAAAGACACCUAUUUACUCCAUGCAUGACCUUUCGUUUACCAAAUAUGAAGAUUGCAGUUGUGCAAAAUAUCUGUGUCAGUAAAAUGUCAUUCCUAGCCGUCUAUGAUGUCAGUAAUAAUUCCGCUAUAUAAUAUAUAUUAUAUAAAUACAUUUAUAUAUAAAACGGUUUAUGACAGCACAAACACCAGACAAAAUAGAUUAAAACUCAACAUUUAGACAACAUUUGUACAACGUAGCCAGCCAACCUAGAACUGAAGAGAAGCAAGUCCACAAUGCAUAAAAAUCGUAAAAACAUACUACAACUAAUUAAAAGGGUAUGGAUUCCCUCGCACAACAUACGCACGCAUCACCUUGAACCAAAAAAUACUCUCACGGUGCCAUUUGCAUCGAUUGCAACAAGUCCAGAAGGCAGGAUUUAUCUUUUCUUCAUUAGGCCAGCCUUGAAUAACAAAAUACCAUUCAUUGUUGUUACAAGCGCUGCAGUGAUUGAACUUAAUCUUCCCAUAGUCAAACAUAUCUAGGAUAUGUCUUGCAACUAUUGGUCGGCUUAAUCUUCGUGUCAAAGCAUCCCUGGUUCCUUUCAUAUCAAUGUUGUUACGUUGAUUCAAAGAACACAAGAAUUCUAAUGCAUCCUCUUUUGACUGACCAAUUCCGGACAUACCAAGUAGUCCAACUACAUAUGCCGCUUCCAUAUGGCCUACCGUGGCUGCAAUGCGCAUCCCAUACAACGCUUCCACGUUACCCUGCCUGAAAAAAACUUCGAAUGCUUCUCUAAAUAUCGACUCAGGGUUAUCGCAAGCCCUGCAUUGUUGCAAGAAAUGCUGGACCGCAGGUCUGGCACGGUACCAGCUAGGAUGGUCUGGGUACUUUGCCAUUGAAAUGGUGUUCCACACUUGUGGACUGUUUGCCAAAGUAUGGAACAAUGGGCACACAGAUGCCAUACGGAAGAGAUCUUCCGAUGAUUGGGUUGCCACGUAUAACAUUACUUUAAACCAAGCUAACUCCGGGAUGAAGGCUUGGGGCAUAUCCAAAUGGAGAUGCUUCCUUCUCUUUCCUCCGACUGUAGUGAAAUGUUUCGAAUUCAUUGAAAUAUUUUUGGAAUGGAACGAUUUGAGGAGUGGCAAAGGGGAGAAAUGAGAAUAUUGGGGUACACGUUUUGUUGUAGUCUCUAUUUAUAGUGUUUUGAAAAGGUGUUUUCAGUUGGGGUUUUUCCAAGUUGACCGUUUUUAAAGAAACUGAACCCAACACCCUAAAACUGAAGACAAAAGAAGGGAAAACGUCAUAACAUUGCAUAAAGAGUCAGACAGUCAAAAAGUCAAUUAAUAACCUAUUUGCAUAGCCAUUUUUGGGAUUUUCCCGCUAUCAAAUUCAUUGAUACAAAUGUGAUGGAUUACUGACUAGUGACAGAAGGUCCCAUUAUAUACUUUUUCAUUUUCCCACACCCAACUACCCCUAGUAAUGUUAUUAAAAUGGAACCAAUAAUGAUGGAUUCUUAUCCAACUAGUUGCCUUAAUGAAAUAUAAAUAAAAUAAUAAAUUUCAAGCAGUGUCCCCUUAAUUUUCAGAUUAAUAUUUGGUAGUGAAAUAUUAUAUUGCUUUUCGGGGUAAAAGAUGUCACAAUUCUGACGGUACAGGUGUCCAGAUCGUGACCAACCCACCCACACACAGAAAAGAAGGAUAUAAUUCAAUUUGGGCAGAGAUGAGAAAGAGCGGAAUGAGAAGUUUAGGGUUAUGAGUGAAGGGGUAUGACUGAGAACUAUGAGUGAGAAGGUAUGAGUCCGAAGAGGUUUCAGUGAGAAGAGGUACAACUGAGAAGAUUCAACAUGUCUUCGUCUUCAUCUCCCGCUCAAACAAAGAGGUGUCAGUAUUGUGGAGCUACAAUGGUGCUUCGGGUUUCAAAAUCAGACAAAAAUCGAGGGAAGCCAUUUUGGAAGUGUCUAACCUCCUAUGUAAGUUUUCAUUUCAAGAAUAUGUAUGUGGGUCAAAAAAAAAAACCUAUGUCUAACUCUGACAGAAUUAUUUUGCAUAUAUGAUGCCUGCAAUUAGGGAGCCACCAGUUACAAUGGAUUCGAAUGGGUUGAUGUAACCUCCGCUGAAGCAGAACAUCAAGAUGACACGAAUGAUGCUACAGUGCUGAAUAUGCUGAAGUCCAUUAAGGACUUGGUAUUAGUUUUAUUAGUUGUAUCAAUUGUCAUAUUAUUUGUUCUUUUAAUGAUCAAUUAAGUGCACGGUUUCAAAGAUUGUGAAAGUUCUCCCUAAAAAGACAUGUUGCACGCACCACCAAUGAGUUUUCAAACCCAUUUUAUAAUAUUUGUGCUUGAAAUAGGUGGAUUGGCAUUGAAUUUAAACAAAAGCAUUUAUUUGUUUGAAACCCAGCAAAAACUUUCCAAGACUUAUUUUAAAAAAAGAAAAUCAUACGAAGACGAUAAAAUCACAAUACAGGGCCAAUACGAUGCAAUAACAAGACAAUACAUUUUUUUUAAAAAUUGCAUAAUUAUUUAGUGUAUAUAGAUUGUUUAUUUGCGUAUACUUAAAGUUUAUUGAUUGUUUACUGCAUAUAAAUCGCACGAUAUUGAAUGUUUAUUGAAGGUUUAUUGAUAUUUUACUGCAUGUAUUUCGCAUGUUAUUGCUCUGAUAUUGAAUGUUUAUUGAAAGUUUAUUGAUUGUUUACAUGUUUAUUGAAGGUUUAUUGAUUAUUAAAUCCAUGUAUUUCGCAUGUUAUUGAACCGAUAUUGAAUGUUUAUUGAUUGUUUACAUGUUUAUUGAUUGUUAACUGCAUGUAUUUCGCAUGUUAUUGAACCGAUAUUGAAUGGUUAUUGAAGGUUUAUUGAUUGUUUGCUGCAUGUAUAUCGAAUGUUAUUGCUCCAAUAUUGGAUGUUUAUUGGGGGCACAAGUACCACUCAAGUAAGAUUUAAGGGGGGAAACGGACCUUAUUCUUUCUUUUAGUAGGAAGAACAACUGUUAAGUUUAAUUUCCUAUUCAAUACGACUUCCUUAUGGUUGGUGUAAUUGGGGACUGAUGUAUAUUGCAUGUCUAUUGUGUGUAUAUUGCAUGUCUAUUGUAUGUAUAUUGCAUAUCUAUUGUGUGUAUAUUGUUUGUCUGUUAUGUGUAUAUUGCUUGUCUGUUGCCUGUGUAUUGUUAUUUAUUUCCUUCGUAAACAAUAAACAAUCAAUACACAUACAAUAAAUGUAAGAUAUACACGCAAUAGAGAAGCAAUAUAGACGCAACAGACAUGCAAUAUAGAUGCACCAAUAUACAUUACUUUUAUGCUACUGAGCUGCCCAAAACCAAGAAAAAAAAAUCAACGAAUUUUUUAACCGAUUAUAAAGGAGAGAGGGAUUCAAACCCGAGGGGCGGUACGGAACCAAUAGGGAGUUUUUAUAGCAUUGCACCUGGAGAUAUUUUUUCAUGUAUUUCUAUAAAGAGGGCAUGAUUGAAUAAAACAUUGGAGGUGAGGCCAUAGCCGCUGAUUAUGUACCUUAUUAAGAUGCAACCCAUUGCGAUUAAUGGUGGCUUGCAUAAACGAUGACAUAUCACUUUGCAAUGAUGUAAUACACUUAAAAAGCCAUCUUCAAAUCCCAAUUCACAUAUGCAGUCUUUAAAUCCCAAUUCAAUGCAGUUUGGUUAAGGUUAUGUAAAUGUCGUGAAGGAGUUAGGCUAAUAUUACACAGAAGUUUGUUUCAUUAAAUAAAAAAAUACUUUACGGAACCAUAGGCACAUUCUAUGUAUGGGAAUGACAUGUGUCUAACUUCAAAAACUCAUCUGCCUAUCCAUUUAGAUUGCCUACGUGCAAUAGAUUUACAGAUCCAUUUACUUUUCUCCUCACCAAGCCGUAGCAUCUCCAUUUCAGUUUCUUCAUUUUUCUGUCUAUGCUCUGCAUCCAACUCCAUAUACAUUUAGGACAAUAUCAGAAUAAAUGUAGCGUAGUAUCACACUAAUCAAAAUGAAAGCAUGCAUCCGCUAUAAUAUUUGCCACUAUUUUGGUUCUAAUUGUUAUUGUCCAAUAACUUAAACCUCAAUUUAUGUACAAAAAUACACUAAGAUUGAGAAAGACGAAGAAGAAUAGAGGAGUAGAGGUAGAAUUCGAAAAGGACCCGUAUGUCUCUAUUGUGUAUUUACAUGAGUUUGAAAUUGGACAUUCGCAAAACCUAUUUAAUCAUCAUGUACCUAAACCAAGUUCAACCCAUAUCAUGGCAUGUAAGCAUCUCCCCGUGUUAUCUCUGCAGCCAAUUUCAACCCAAAAAAAGGGCCUGUUCUGCGAGGUGCAAGUAGCUAACGGAAUCUCAGCGCUCAAAAGCUCAAUGUACUUCAACACGAACAUGCCACAAUCGCCUCUGAAGCAAAACAAGAACUCGAUCAAUUCAACUAAUGACAUUCUAACGUAAUUGACAAUUUAAAGUAAUAAAUUUAAAUAAAAAGUUGUGCUUACUGAUUAGACUGUUGUGGAACAUCCACACGCUCUAUUGGUCAUGGACACCACCAAUCUCGGCUGCAAUUGUUUGCGUAAACACCUUCUUCAUAAAAUUCGAUGGUGUUGAGAAGAUUUGGAAUCGUAAUUGAAAGCGGGGCGAGUUCUUCCUUUAAGAUCUCAUCUGGAAUAAGUGAAACCUUUGAAUCGUACACAUUGAUUUCACACAAAACCAGAUCAAUCAUUAUAGCCACCCAGUGCUUGUACUUCGUCAACAUACAAGGGGCAUACACCUUAUAUGCUUUCUGCCAAUCCAUCCCACACGCCGGAACCUUGCCAUUUACAACGUUCAGUAAACUGUUUCUAAUUUUCCACCCAACCUGCUCUAUUUUUUUAAUUAUCCGUAAAGCAAGUACGAAUGUGAUUCUGUCAAAUAGAAAACAAUCAAUGGUUAAACACCUCCACAAAGCAAGUAUGGAUAAUUUGUAAUUAUUAACAGCACUUGGUCAAAGCCCAUGACAUACCAUAAAAAAUACAUCGGUCGUUGUCCAGUCUGAUAUUUCUACUUCCUCCAACUCUUGUUGUCGCUUCCGGAUGAGAUACAACCCCAAAUCAAUGUGCUGCAACAUGUUUUUCUUGUCAAUCUCAUAAUCUAUGUACAUUAAAACAAAUGCAUAAUCAAUUAAACUUACAUCUCCUUUUAGCCAACCAUCAGCUUUGACGAGGGAAGCGAAGAAUUCAAUAUCAGCUUUCACGUUGCCAAAUUGCAUCACCAAACUAUGAAUAUAAAAAAGUUUUAGAACACAACAAUUAAAAAAUAUAUACACUCAUGCCUUCUAUCUCAAAAAACAAGGGACUUACUUUGGGUUAUGGCGCCAUUUCCAACAAAGUUUUAGCAAUUUCACCAGAUCAUCAUGCGGAAUCGCCUUCAUUGGGUCUAACGUCUGAAGUCCGGUUGUCUCUGCCAGAGUUUUUGGAACCAAUUCACUACCUUCAAUGAUCUUCCACAUAGGAAUGAUCCUCUUCCUUUUCCGUAAUUGGACCCCUUGUUCUACAGCUUUACCUUUAUCAUUCAACCAAACGUUCAACUGAGAUAGCACAGCUGUAGGUUGAUCCAAAUCAAUGUCCCCGAGAGUAAACUCAACCUUUGUCCCCUCCGUGCUCUCGCCAAUGUCAUCGCCAAGCAACAUAACUUCAUUAUCUUCUUUCUCACAUUGGUUUCUUUGCACUUCCUUUUCCUCACUUCUUUGUCUUUUCACUUCCUUGCCCUCCCUUCUUUUUCUUUGCGGAUCCUCUCCCUCACUGCUUUUUCUUUGCAGUUCCUCUCCCUUACUGCUUUUUCUUUUCACUUCCUCUCCCUCACUGCUCUUUCUUUGCGCUUCCUCUCCCUUGCUGCUUUUUAUUUUCACUUGCUCUCCUUCACUUCUUUUCCUUUGAGCUUCCUCUACCUCACUUGGUUUUCCUUGCACUUCACCCCCUUCAAUCCCCUCCUCUUCCUUUUCCUCUCCCUCAUUUCUAUUACUUGGCCCUUCACCCCCUUCAAUCCCUUCAUCUUCCUUUUCCUCUCCCUCAUUUCUGUUACUUGGCCCUUCAUCCCAUUGAAUGUCAUCCAUUUCCUCACUUCCCUUAAAUAGAUGUGAGAUGACACAACGAUUCGUCCUCUCUUUCAGUAAAGCUAGGUCCCUCCUUACUUCCUUCUCAAACUGAGGACCUAAACAGUGGUCCAAAAGUUUUUCCAUCCGUAUGACCUUUAACUCAAGGACGUCUUUUUCCCGCUUUACUUGAAACAACUCGGACCUCAACAAGCUUACCACCUUGUUCAACUCAUCAAGGUUAGCAUAUGAAGAAGGAAUUGACUCUGCCGAGACAACAGCAGGGCGAUCAUGUGGCCAACUCCAAUAUGGUUGUCUCAUUUCCUCUUCACUCGGACAUAGCGCCCGCAACUGAACUGACUGUUUCAGAAUACAGACAAGAGUCAUAUUCAAUCAUUCUACUUCAUAAUUUCAUUGAAUCUUAUAAAUAGUUCUAAGGGCUGCAAACCAAACCUCUUUGCUCUGUUAAAAAUAAUUGUUCAACUUUCUCAUCUCGGGAACAGACGUAGUAGUUCUCCAUCGCAAAAUACGCGGGACAGCUGUCGGAUCAACAACCUUGCAGUAAUUCAGGUCUGCCAUUCUAGGAAUUAAUUCAUAUACCCAAAUCUACACAAUUUACAGGACAAAAGUCAUUAUUUAAGUUUUAAAAUCCACAAAACUAAUUGACAUGAACAUUAUUACCAUGUACCUGGAAAGCAUACGUGAAACCUUUAAAACUCCAUCCACUCCUUUGUGCUUCACCAUGCUUAUCCUUCUUGCCCUUCUCAUUUCUCCGGCUUGUUCCCGUUACCUUACUUUUCCCCUUCCCUCUUCCUUCUUCUUUUUCAAAGCUUUUCACAUACUUUGUUGGUGCAGAAAAUAGACUGUCUUGGGUUUUGUCAAAGGACACUGAACCCCACAGAUACCUGUUGAACGCAUCCAAGUCCUCUACAAGGGUCAGGUAAUUUAGAUUGAUGUUCAAAUGUUUGUCCCUUCCCAAAACCACUAACUCAGCAAAGUAAACAAGAGCUAGCUUGUAGAUGUCAUCUUCCUCUGUGCACCUCAGAAAUGCUUCUUCUAAGGCAUUACAUGUAAUUCCUUCAUCUAUAAAAUAUCUUUUCUGAAGUCUAAUUUCAUCACUCUUUCCACUGGAAACUUCAGGCACUUCCCCAAAACGAAGCCCUGUGAUCAAACAGAAAUCCUGACGAGUGAACUGAGCAACGUCACACCCUAUUAAGAAACUCAGUCCAUCCAAGUCUUUCACACCCUGCCCCGCUACUCUACGCAACACAACCCUAUGCACAAUCUGCCCACUAAACUGAAUCUUAUCUAUAUUCAGAAGAUGGCCAAAGCAUGAUGUCUUGAAUUGUUCUAAUUGUUCCGCACUCAACUUUGCUCGAAUUGCAGCUAGAGAUGAAUUUGCAUGUGAGCAGUUGUUCACCCGUGACGAAUAUACCUCUGACUCUGGCCAUACCAGCUCCACGUUGGAUCCCAUUUCCUGAAAUACAAGAUGAAAUAACGUGAACACAUAUACUACCACGUAUUUGCACAAUCACAUUGGUAUUUACACAACUAGUCAACCAGGCACAUUACAAAUUUUACAAAGUACAUGAGCAUAGGGAUUACUGAUCACAGGCUUUAACAUCAUCAGAGCAAUAUGACAAAUUUUGUGCAAAUACCUGUUAAUGCAAUGAUUAUGUGAAUUACAAACAAUUUCAUGUGUUUUAUUUGUGGAUCCAAACUCUAAUCAAUGGUUGUUGCAUGAGUGAGUGUGAAUGCAAUCUAGGCAAGUUCUGCACUUCACACACAUGACAAUUAUUGUCAUCUCAUACACAAUACAAAAUAAAUAAAUCAGAAAUAUAGUGGAAGGAAGCAAAGCAAAGCAUCUAUUCUGCUAUCUGCUUGCUAAGCAAUUGCCACAUCCUUCUUUCUUUCUAGCUUUUUCUUCAGUCAGCCACAAUCGUCAUAGAUCAACCUUUAUUUCAAAUGCUUUGCACUUUUAUUCAUGAGUUUAUUAUUAUCUGUUCUCAUUUCUCAUAGGCAAAUUUAGUAACAAAUGAAAUAAUAUUUAUUUCAAAAAAUAUAUAAAUUCUAGCGCCAGAGAGGUACUCUGCACUCUGCACUGCUUCAAAUGUGGAAGGUUUUGAGGGCCUCCUCCAAUUCAACACCAUUAUCUUAUUCAUAUCAUUACUAACAUGUUAUUGAGAUGUUAUUGACAUGUGAUUCACUUGAUUUUCAUUCGUUUUUUAACUUAUACCCAAGCAAAAAUUAACAUGCAAUUGAAGCACAAAGAAGAGAUGCCAAAUCCAACAACAUUGAUGGUACAAAUUGGGGAAAACCGUUACUCUAACCCUAAACUCAAAUUCCAUAAAUUACUCAUCAAAUGCUUUGCACUUCUAUUCAUGAGUUUAUUAUUAUUAUCUGUUCUCAUGUUUCUCAGGCAAAUUUAGUAACAAAGGAAAUCAUAUUUAUUUCAAAAAAUAUAUAUAUUCUAGCGCCAGAGAGAUAAUCUGCACUAUGCACUGCUUCAAAUGUGGAAGGUUUUGAGGGCCUCCUCCAAUUCAACACCAUUAUCUUAUUCACAUCAUUAUUGACAUGUUAUUCACUUGUUAUUGACUUGAUUUUCAUUCCUUUUUUAACAUAUACCCAAGCAAAAAUUAACAUGCAACUGAAGCACAAAGAAGAGAUGCCAAAUCCAACAAAAUUGAUGGUACAAAUUGGGGAAAACCAUUACUCUAACCCUAAACUCAAAUUCCAUAAAUUACUCACCAAAUGCUGGUUAUUGAACAAUCGCAAGGUGUCUGUGCGGGGUCUUUGUGUUGCUUUGCUCCACAAAUGGAACCUACCACUUCCAACGAAUACGACUUCUCUCCUUCCCCUUUCACUGCUUCGCCCCUUCACUGUUUCGGAAUCCACACCUUUGCCUCUUCUACUCAAAAUAAAUACUUUUUCAGGGUCUGGAGAACGGAGUGGCUUCAACCGUUGCCUUCAACCGUUUCUCAGAGCUAUGGGUUUUAGAGAGAUGAGUUGUUUCUGUUCAAACUUCGAACUUGCCUCUUCUUCUUCUUUUUCAGAUGUGCUUGCCUCUUCUUCUUUUUCGGACGUGCUGGAUAUUCAAUUCGGGUUUGGGUUCCACACCUACCCGAUUUUAAAACUUUAUCUCAAUUCUCCCCAGCCCUUGAAUUGAUCUGAUGGCUAUUGUUGAAGGAAAAUUGUGAUCUUCCUAAUAUAAUUUCACCACCACUAAUUAAAUAAUGGGGUUUUAUUAUUUUAGGUUCGACCCAUUCGAGACGCAAGUCUCUUAAUUACAAUCCCUUGCUUCAAGGGAAAACCCUUUGAUUCCAUCAUAAAGAAACAGAACAUGUGUGUUUGAUUUUGCAGCUGCUCCCAAGUCCAACCUCAGGAUGCCUACGUAUCCCUUGCGGGAAUCAAGCCACUCGUAGUUCAAAGAUUCAUGAUGAAUAAAUGACUCAUCGCAAAACGAAGAAUUUGAAUGAGUUUGAUUGAGGAGUGUUUGAGUGAAUUUAGCUGAAUAAACCAGGGAUUCGAUAUGGAAAUAUGUUUGGGAUGGUUGCAUCUAGAUUGAAUCUCUAGAUUGCCUACGUACCCUUUUAAGGGAUCAAACCAACGUAGUUCGAAAAAUUUAGAAAUUAAUGGGUAAGUGUGGCCCAAUAAUUUAGAGUUGGUGUCUUUGAGACGAUUUGAAGAUUUUCAUAGGUAGAUGACCUAUGGGGAAAUUUUGAAAUUAAUGGAUAAGUGUGGCCCAUUAAUUGAGAAUUUGUGUUUGAGAUAUUUGAAUUUAAUCUCAUUGGAAUUUUCAUGGGUAGAUGACCCAUGGGAAAAUUUGGAUGGUUUUGUAAGACUUUUUUUCUUUUUGUCAAUGUCCCAGAAAAUUAAUGAGCAAUUUUGAUUAACCCACUAAUUUUCUAAAGUUGACAUUUGCACUUGGACCCAAAUAUGGCUACAAGGAUUUUUUUUUUAAUUAAUCCAUUAACCAUAUGAUAGGGAAUUUGGGCCUUAGGAAAUUUAAUGGGUAAUUAUUUGAGUUACCCAUUAAUUAUAUGGGCUUCUGAGAUUCAAUGGAUAAUUAUUCUCUGACAGCCCAUAAUUCUAUUUUGGGCUUUUGAUGUUUGUUGAUAGCUAGCCCAUGAGCAUGGAGCCCCAAAAAAAACUUUGGUCCAGCAGGCGAUUAGCUAUCCAACUCUUUGCAGAGUUUGUUUCUAAGUAAAAUCAGACCUUGCAAUCCCAUCUUUAUCUGGAAUACUUGUGAUCAGUCCGAAUUACAAGCAAACACUGUCACUACUACAAAAAAGCAAAAAGACGACGGUAAAUCACCGUCGUGUAUUUGGUUUUUCAAUGGUCGUGGAAUCCACCGUCAUCUUUUCCCUCAUAAACCACGACGCUAAAUAACCGUCGUUGUUAAACUAUACAACGUCAUCAAAAAAUACAAAACGACGUCUUUGUACUGCAAAAAGAUCUAAAAAAAGCAAUCGAGGAUGAUAAUAGACGACCAAUUCUCUAAAAAGACCGUCGUUAAAAAGGGAAAAUAUGACACAUAUUAAGAGAACAAGGCCGCAAGAUAGACAUACAACGACGACAAUAAAAAUACGCCGACGUUAAAUAUAAUUUUCACGACAAUAAAAAAUAGGACGUCUUUAAAUACAUUAGAAGACGACGUUAUUGAUACCUACUACGUCGCACAUAUAAACACAACCGUCGUACAAUUAAUUUUCCACUUCGAUUUUUCGAUAAAAGAUGACGUGGAAAUAGUUGUCAGUGUCAUUAUUUACGACGUAUGUGUUUCUAUAGUAGACGUUGAAAAACUAAACAACGUCAGUUACAAAUAUAUGAGAGUCGUAUUAAAAAAUUUAUACGUCCUAUUUUCAGAAACAAACAACGACGAUAAAUAUUAGACGUUGUUAAAUACAACAACGUCGGAAAACAAUAAAAACAGACGUGUUUAGUCUGCUAAAGUUCUAGAAAAUAGUCGAGGAUGAGAAUAGACGACCAACUCAAAAAAAUCACCGUCGUUAAAAAAGAAAAAUAUGACACAUAUUAAAAGAACAAGGCCGCAAGAUAUACAUACAACGACGACAACCAACGACCAUAAAUAUUAGACGUUGUUAAAUACAACAACGUCGGAAAACAAUAAAAACAGACGUGUUUAGUCUGCUAAAGUUCUACAACGUCUCUUAUUUACAAAAAACCGUCGUGAAAUAAAUUUUCCACUUCGAUUUUUCUAAAAAAGAUGACGUGGAAAUAGUUGUCAGUGUCAUUAUUUACGACGUAUACAUUUAUAUAGUCGACGUUGUAUUUAUAUGUAUUCAUUACUCACGACGCACUUAAUAAUAUAGACGACGUUGAACUUCUAAACAACGUCGGUUCCAAAUAAAUGAGAGCCGUAUUACAGAACAUAUAGACGGCGUAGAUUAUGAUGGGAGCCGUAUUACAAAUAACGUCGUUUAAUUGUUAUUAGACGGCGGUUAUAAUGAAUUUCCGUCGGAAUUAAUUUCGUUCCUCUUCGUUUAUAAAAGAACUUGCGACGUGGAAAAUGUAUGAUGACGUCGUAUUUUUUAACGUUCAGAUUAUAUAUCUCGUUUUUUAGACGUCGGUAUUAUGGGAUUGGAGUCGUGUUAUUUUGAAUUACAUGGCGGUUCUUUAUCCUUCACCGACGUGAUAUCCUGAAUAAUUGCUUCACAAUAGCGUCGUGGUUCUUCAUUGUUACGUUGCUUUAAGACGUCGGUAAAUAUGCUGAGAUUCACAAUAACGUCGUGUUUUAUUUGAACGUAGAAAGUGAAGAAAUCACAUUACAAUAUAUUACAAAAUUAAUGUCAUACACUGCCAAUUACAUAAGCAUCAUUCAAUCCAUAUAUCUUCACACCCAUCUCGAAUAUUUUGACCGCCUAACUCACCUACCAGUUCAUCAAAUGUGUCAACAUUUGGCAUCCCUCUAGUAAAUGGCUCACACUCAAUUAUCACAUCACCUAAUACUUCAUCACCAAUAACAUCAUUAUAUUCUCUACUAGGCAUUGAUAACACUACCGACCAACCACGAUGCAUCGGGUCGUCAACAAAAAAUAUUUGUUUGACUUGAGAAGCCAAAACAAAUUGGUCAUUCCUAUGUCUAAUUUUACUCAAAUCUACAAGGGUAAAUCCAAGUUCGACUACAAGACCAGAACUAUCUAUCCAAUCACACCUAAAGACUGGGAUUGUAAACUUUUGGUAGUCAAGGUCCCAAAUUUCUUGAAUGACACCAUAGAAACCCAUAUUUGAGAGAAUUGGGUUUUUAUCCUUGGCACUAGCAACUUGCAUGGUAUGUGCAAGUAAAUAAACUCCACUAUUUUGAGUUGUCCGCACAUCAUCUUGUGCCUUGAUAUUGAAUUUAAUACCUUUAAUCAGAUAGCUCCUAUAUAAUGGCACUGACAUGUUUGGACCAGCUGCUAGCCACCUUAAAUUUUCUGAUACGCCAUGAUUGUCUUCCUCAAGUUCACUUUGAACCUGCAAAUUAAUCAUAUCUUAAUUCAUCCUAACAUAUAAAUAAGAAGAAAAUUAAAAGAGAAAUACGUUAUUCAACAACAUAUACCUUGAAGCGUAGCCAUUGAAUGAAAGUGCUAUUGUGCUUAUCCUGCAGCCACUUUGUUCUCUUUCUAAAUUUUGGAUAAGCAGUCUUGAUGUGGAUCAUAUGUUGCCUACAUGACACGAAAAAUUCAAGCAUUACGGUCCCAAAUAUAUAAGAUAAACAUAAGAAAUAAUUUUAAAUGGAAACUUAAAGAAUAAAACUCAUACGUAGUCGAUAUAAGGUAGGACUUCCUCCGUAUUCUCCAAGACAUAUAGAUGUGCUUGAUUCAACAGGUCCUGAUCAACUACGCUCACUGUGCAACCUGAUAAUGGCUUUGAAACUCCCAUCUUUGGCUUGAAGGCACUCCAACUGUACUAACAUCAGAUAAAUGCUGAGUACAAAACUCUACCGCUUCUUCAGCUAUAUACCGCUCAGCAAUGCAACCUUCGGGACGAGUACGAUUCUGAACAUACCCCUUCAGCACUUUCAUAUAUCUUUCAAACGGAUACAUCCACCUAAAAUAUACUGGCCCACAUAGACGAACUUCUCUGACAAGAUGUACUACUAGAUGAACCAUGAUAUCAAAGAAUGAAGGGGGAAAGUACUUCUCAAGCAAAGUUCAAAAAUGCUUCCACCCCAAAUUCAUAUGCCUUUCGAUCUUCUAUCCGAGUGCAUCCAUGACUUAUCCAUCUCCGACACUAUAACCUAUUAUCUAUAAUAAAGUGAAAAUACAGGCAAUGACCAUCACUAUAGCAGAUUAUACAAUGAUCUAAUCGCAAGUAAUAAACAACAGAGACGACGGGUUUUAAUCAAAAACAGACGUAUUUGGCAUAUAUAGACGACGGAUUUUCAACAGACGUCGUCUAUUAUACGUAAUACAAACGACGGUUUAUGAAAAAACCGUCGUGUAUAAGUAAUACAACGACGGUAGUUUAAAAACACCGUCGUGUAAUCGUCGUCGUACGCCUUAAAAUUCGUCGUGUCUCAGUUUAUUUUCAAGAACACAAAACCCAUUAAGAACACAACAUAUAUAUGAAACCAAGCAAGAAACCAACAUAUACAUGAAACCAAGCAUGAAAACAAUAAAUCCAUUCCCAAUUCAACAUAACAUAGGGUGAUUAAAAGAUACGACAAAAUUAAAUCCAUUCCCAAUUCAACAUAACAGAUAAUGUAAUCCAUGAACCCAUUAAACAGAAAAUCCAUGAACCCAUACCUAUAAGCAUUGGUGCACUUUGCACCUUCUCCAGAGCGAAAAAUGACAAGAUCAAAUAAAGGUGUCCUUUUGCUGGAAAUCAUUUGGAAGUUGGUGAUGUGUCUUUUUGUGUUGAUUUCCAGCAAAAGUACACCUUUAUUUGAUCUUGUCAUGAACCCAUUAAACAGAAAAUCCAUGAACCCAUACCUAUAAGCACAUUAUUAACAGAUCGCAAAGCAUAUACCUAAAACCCUUUAACAAAACAACCUAAUAUCAUUCAAUGAAUUUACAAGGGGAAGAUAGGGUUUGUACUUACAGGUUGGACGAGCUCACAGAUUCGACGAGCCUGGAGAGUGCAACUUUUAAUUAGAGCAGAAGUGAGAGAGCGAAAUGUUAUGUCGCGUGAAAUCUGAAAUUUUAGGUUUCAGGGAUCGAAGUAUAAGACUAAGAGCCAAAUCUAAAAAAAUUUAGGUCGCGCGAAAAUUUUUAGAGCGCGCGCGUUAUAAAACGUCGAAAGAAAAACCAAGGCGAAAGUUCUACAAGUACCGACGUAAAUUUAAUAUUCCACGACGGAAACUUCAUUUUUCGGAUUAAGAACGUAAGGCCGUUCAUUUUUCGGAUUAAUUUUAAAUUUAUUUUGAAUUUUUUAUAUAACGACGACUGAAAAACCACGUCGGUGUUAAGAAAUUAAAGACGUUGUAAAUUAUAUAAACCGACUUACAUAUUAAAAUAACGUCGUUUAAAGCGUAAACCAUGUCGUAUGUUUUACUGUACGACGUAAAAUAUGUAUUCCACGACCCAACCACCGUCGUUAAAAAUUAAUACACUAAACCCAUAAAAUUAAAUUAUACAAUUUAAAAAAUUAAGUUUAUAAAAGGUUUUAUGGUUUUAAAGCCUAACAUAUAACAUAGACUACCCAAAAAUUAUACUUUAAAAAUAAACCCCAAUAAAUAACAACACUAAUCUCUAAACCCUAGACUCUAAACCCUAAACCAUAAAAAUAGAAGUGAUUUUAUGACUCAUCAAAACAAUUUUGUUUUGGAUGGUCAUUUUAAAUUUUUGUUAUUCAAAAUGAAUUUUUUCAAGGUUUAUGUGGAAGAAAAUAUAUCAAUGACUUCAUAGGAGUUGACUUUUCAAUUUUCUGAUUUAUUUUAUAUUUAUUUUGAAUAUUUUGAUAUAAAAAUAAUAAAAUAUUCUUACCAUACAACAAACCACGUCGGUGUUAAAUAAAUUGUAGACGUUGUAAAUUGUAAUAGAUUACUAAGUCGUUAAAAUGACGUCGUUAAAAUGAGAAACCACGUCGGUGUUAAGAAAUUAAAAACGUUGUAAAUUAUAUAAACCGACUUACAUAUUAAAAUGACGUCGUUUAAAGCGUAAACCAUGUCGUAUGUUUUACUGUACGACGUAAAAUAUGUAUUCCACGACCCAAACACCGUCGUUAAAAAUUAAUACCCUAAACCCAUAAAACUAAAUUAUACAAUUUAAAAAAUUAAGUUUAUAAAAGGUUUUAUGGUUUUAAAGCCUAACAUAUACCCUAGACUACCCAAAAAUUAUACUUUAAAAAUAAACCCCAAUAAAUAACAACCCUAAUCUCUAAACCCUAGACUCUAAACCCUAAACCAUAAAACUAGAAGUGAUUUUAUGACUCAUCAAAACAAUUUUGUUUUGGAUGGUCAUUUUAAAUUUUUAUUAUUCAAAAUGAAUUUUUUCAAGGUUUAUGUGGAAGAAAAUAUAUCAAUGACUUCAUAGGAGUUGACUUUUCAAUUUUCUGAUUUAUUUUAUAUUUAUUUUGAAUAUUUUGAUAUAAAAAUAAUAAAAUAUUCUUACCACAACAAGAAACCACGUCGUGGUUAAUAAAUUGUAGACGUUGUAAAUUGUAAUAGACUACUAAGUCGUUAAAAUGACGUCGUUAAAAUGAGAAACCAUGGCGGCUAUUUAACUAUACGACGUAAAAUAUAUAUUUUACGACUUAACCGCAGUCGUUACAUAAACGUCGUCGAUUAUACCCUGAACCCUUAAGAAAUUGAAGAUAUUGUAAACCAUUAACGACUCAAUUGUUCAAAGAACGUCGUCUAACUAUUUUUUUACGUCGUAUUUGUUUAAAACACGCAACAACAAAAUACGACGGUUAUUGACUUUAUUAGGUCGUUGGAAAAGUAUUACACGUCGGUUAAGCAAUUUGUAUGUUUGUUUUUUUUUAAUUUAAGAAAACCUCAACAAAUUUUUACAUUACAUAUUAUAGAGAAAAUUGGUACAUUAUACAUAAAUAUCAAGUGUUCAAUAAUUGCCCUGUUUAAUAAUUUGGAAAACAAACUCUGCCCAUUCAUUCCGGACUUCAUCAAUGGCUUCUUGGGGGUAUGAAGCUUCCUGGUUUCCCUUGGCAUACUGCAUAAACAAUGACUAUUAGGGUUUAUAAAUAAAAAGAAAUUCAAUCACAGACGACGAUAUUUUUCAUAACCGACGUAGUAUAUCCAUUCAACGACGUUAAUUUUACACGACCGUCGUUGAUAAUACAAAAAACGACGUGAAAUGUAUGAAGGUAAUUUCUUCUUACCUUAUUCUCAAACCCCAAGGAAGGAUCCAUGAUGAUGUCCCUCAUGAAGCGCAUUACAUAAUACCCGCAUUCGACAUUGCUGGGUUGCUUUGGUGUGCCUGAGAGAGUUUUCCAAAUUACAUUUUUACGUCCUGCUCGGGCUAUGUGGGUAUUAUAUAUUUUUAAAGCACUGUUCACGAUGUUUUUGGCCUCUUCAUCGACCACACGAUUUCCUGGCAGAGGAUCCAGAAAAUAGACGGUUUCUCUCUUUGCUCUUACAAUCAGCAAAAUCCAAUGACGGCUGCACAAAAUUAAUAUAAAAACGACGGUUAUUUACAAAAACGACGUAUUAUAGUAUUUCACACGACGAAGUAAAGUAGCUAACGACGACAUUAUAUAUUUAUCACGACGAUAAAUAAAUACCGACGUGGUUAGUAGUUUCAAACGACUAAAUAAAAUAAAACACCGACGUGGUUAGUUUAUAAGCUGUCAUUUAUUGAAAAUCUUAAAAACAAAAUCCUAAGGAGACUAACCCUGGAUUGUAAGGCAUCAUGAAAAUCUGUUCACCGUCUGUCUUCUGAAGUCGAGCUGCUACCAGUCGUGAUCUUGCAGUUAUUGUGCCAGAGUUGGCACUAACUGUAGCAGGGUCGAUAAAGCCAACCAUACUGCACAUAUUGGCUUUUUUCAAAACAUCGUGUAAGUACCUAAACAAAUAAAAUAAUAUAAACAAGUCAGCACACAAAACACGACGGUUAUGUAUAAAACAACGACGUAUUAUAAUAUUUCAAACGACGUACUGAAAUAGAUGAGGACGUUAUAAUAUAUUUAUCACGACGGUUGUUAGUUAAGACGACGUGGUUAGUUAGUUAAGACGACGCAAUAUAUAAACCAACGAGUUAUUAUUUUAGAAGUACAAACCUCAUAUAUACAGCCAAUACAGUAGCUCCAAUUUCUUCCAUGCCUGCAAAUUGUGUAAUAUCUUCAGGCAGGAGGAAGGUAUCGCGCUCACCACCAAACACCUCCUUAUCAAUUGUAAAUUGGACUGUCUUAUCCUCAGGCAGGAGUGUUGUUUCCACAAAACGACAAAGGGUUUUUAAAGAAGAUGGCGCCUCCAUUUUUGAAUAAGCACCAACUUCAAUAACCUGUUUAAAGAAAUAAAAAAAAUGACGUGGUAAUUCAAUAAAGACGACGGUUUAAGUAAUAAAACGUCGUCUUAAAAGUAUUUAAACGACGGUGAAAAAACUGUCGUGGUAAUUCAAUAAAGACGACGGUUUUAUAAAUAUUUUAUUACGUCUUAAAAAAAUUCCGCCGUCUAAGUUGUAAACAAACGACGGAUUAAAAAAAAUUCCGCCGUCUAAGUUUUAAACAAACGACGGAUUAAAUAAAAAUAUCGACGUCUGAAAUUUUGAAAAACAACUUUCUCCUUUUCUUCUUCCUUCUCUUCAUCUCUUUUUUCUUCUUCCUUCUCUUCAUAUCUUUUUUCUUCUUCCUUCUCUUCAUCUCUCUUUUCUUCUUCCUUCUCUUCAUCUGGCUGAUGUUUCCCCAUUUUGGCAGUAUCAUCCUCCAAAUGUAGGGAUCUCACAUCACCUCCAGAGCAGCUAGCUUUGUCAGACAUUGGAUUUUUGGGGCUUUGGCUAAUUCUUGGUUUAAGCAUGCUUGGAUCAAAAUUGGGAAUUAAUUGGGAAAGCUGACUCAGGAAAUGCUCCCUCUCAGCCUCUACCAAUUGUUUUGUCCUAGCCUCCAUCCUUAAGGCCUCUUCCCUUGCCUUAGCCUCCAUCUUUUUAGUCUCUUCUUGAAGGAGAACUCUUAAACUCUCCUUCAAAUGGUCGUCAAAGCUCACCCUCUGUGGUUUGGGCAAAUUGAAAUAUUGCCUUGGGGAAACACCAGCACCAACUCCCCUCACCCUGCCUGGAUGCUCGGGGCCCAAAGCCAUGGUCAGCACAUCAUUGCUGCCAUCUACUCUGACUUUGCCUUCCGAGACUUGUUUCUGCAAUUCAUCCUAAAACAAAGAUAAACAAAAAAACACACGACGGUUAUUUAUGUACAAACGACGUAUUAUAUAAUUUCACACGACGCAAUAACAUAUAAAACGACGUUAUUAUAACUUAUCACGACGGUAGUUAUACCGACGUGGUUAUUUAUUUAAAACGACGAAAUGAAUAAACAACCGACGUCUUAUGCUAUAAUUAAAGAAAACAGAGUAGUGAUUCCUAUUUAGACCGUUAACGACGUUUUUACAAAAGUUUCGACGUGGUAAUAUCAUUCACACGACGCGAGAAUGAACCACCGACGUCGUAUGCUAUAAUAACAGAAAACAGAGUAGUGAUUCCUAUUUAGACCGUUAACGACGUUUUUAAAAACUUUUCGACGUGGUAAUAUCAUUCACACGACGAAAAAUAUAACAUACGACGUAAUAAGAAUAAUUCACAGUUUAAUAAAAAUUUAAAACAGAGUGAGUAGGCUUACAAUUAAUUUUGCCUUCUCUGCCACCUUUGGAUCAGGGAUGUUACCAUGUUUGUCCUGUCUAGCUCUCUUCCAUAAGGUAGAUCGAUCAAUUUCUACCCCAGGCAUGGUUUCCUCCAAUUGAUCCUCCAAUCCAGCAUAUCCUUUUCGAGACAAUCGAUGAUUGUACUCGAGUUUCUCCCUAAUCUGUGAAUGUUGAGAAUGCACAGACUGAAAAUCUUUGGAUAGCCUUGAAGCUACAAAGGCAUCCCAUUGGGCUUUCUCUAUGAAUUUAUAUGUUUCAGGGGGUUGGCUUAAUUUCUCCCUGUCAUUGGUGUAUGGAAGGAUAUAAUGCCUCGUUAGUGUAGACUUGAAAUCCUUCCAUUUUUUGGCAGCAGAAGAUAAAACAGAGGUCUUGCCCCCUUGGCCUACGACAAAAGCCAUGUCAACUGCUUCCCAAAUCUGCUCCUUUAUAUCCUUUGGGAUUUGGGACCAUUUCUUUUCCACAAGUGGGAUCCUGGAGCGUGCCAAGACACCAAUAUACGACUGCAUCUCAAUAUGUGCUUGGCCAACACCUUUCCCCCUUUUAUUGUACUCAACAAUUGGCCUCAGUUUCUGAAGCUUUCUCUUCACAACACGAGGCAUUAUGCUCAUACCUCGACCAGUCUUUGAAUCAUCAGAGAUUGUUGUCUGGCUGGUUGGUUCUGUCUCAGCAGAUGAUGAAGCAAACUUCAUCUUCUUCGAAGACUUCAUCUCCUUCGAAGACUUGUCUUGGGGAGCUACCACUCCAAGCUUCUUGGAGCCAGAAUCCUUAGUUUGUUGUUGAGAAACCAUUUUAACAGACAAAACUGCAAGUGAAAAUAUUUCAGGAAAACAUUAAGAACACAAACGACGGUAUUAAAAAAUACGACGUAUGAUAUGAUUUUAGACGACGCAAUGAAAUAAUCUCAGAUGUAAUAAAUGUUUAAAACCAUUAUUUAUAUAACGUCGUGGUAUAUAUGUUCACACGACGUCAAUAGUAAUACACCGUCGUGGUAAACUAUUAUUUAUAUAACGUCGUGGUAUUUAUGUUCAUACGACGUCAAUAGUAAUACACCGUCGUGGUAUUAACAUUCACACGACGUAAAACAAUAAGAUAUUUUUCGUCUAUAUUAGAUACCAACCCUAGUUUCUUUUUCUUUAUAUUUUAUCAAAUAAGGAAAAACAAAAACCAUUGUUCAGAGAAAUCAAACCUGCAAUUAAACAAGCAUAUAAAAAAAGACUAUUAUUUUAAAAACAACUUUGUCAAUUUUCAGACGACGCUAGAACAACUGACGAACCGUCGUGGUCUACCGUCGUCUUAUUUAGUUGAGGUAGUUGUCUUCAAAGUUGGAAACUUUCCCUCUUUGUCUGUAUAUUUUAUCAAACUUGGAAAGAAGUAAAAUGAUUUUGGCCAGAAAAAAGGUAAAAAGAUUUUUCAAACAAAAAACGUAUGAGCAUGCAAAACAGUAACCAAAAUAGUGAAAAUGAAAGCUUACCUUUUGCGUGCAAUGAAAGCAAGAGGAAGAUGAUCGAUGUUUAAAUUCAGAGACGACGAAGAAGACGAGAGGAAGACGAUGAGAAACUCUGACAAUGCUCUGACAAGGAAAAAAGACGAAAAGGUUUCUCUGGGAGAUUGAGAUUUUUAAUCGGGUUUGGAAACAGUGCAUGUGUAAGUCGAAAAGUUGCUUACAUAUAAAACCAUUUCAAAAAAAAAAUACGGCGGUGACAUUUAACUACGUCAUUUUUAACUAACACGACGCAAUAUUUUUAGUUCGACAUGGACUCAUUUCAUUUAACGUCGUUAUAUUUAAUAUAACCGACGUGGAUUUUAAUUUUUAAAUUAUGAAUAGAAUUUUUUUUCCCUUGAACUUUCAGUUUAUUUUUCAAUUACAGUGCGUUAUAAAUAGAGUUUUUUUUCUGGAGGAAAUUUAAAAUGAAGGAAAUUAAUGUUCUGGAAUUUAAAUAAAAUAAGAAUAUAAAAACAACGACUGUUUUUGUAUUACUGUCGUCGUUUUUCGUCGUCUUAAGUAAGACUAAGACGACGUAAUAUAUUUGUUUAGGGACGUUGAUUUUUGUUUUAAACGUCGUUAGGUAUAAUAUAACCGUCGUUGGAAAUUGUUUCUCUGAUUGCAAAUUUGCAACGACGUUAGGUAUAAUAUUUGUAGAUAAACAAACGCACACACAUCAUCAACUUCCAAAAAAUUGUCUCUCUGAUUUCAAAUCUGUGUCAUCUGUUAAGAUUAUGAUGUGGAACAGAGUUCCAUCUGGUAAGAUUUCGUAACCCUUGGGAUCUCAGAAAAAUCUGAUUAUGUCGGCGGUUUUUUAUAUAAACCGUCGUGGUUAUUUCAAUUCUUGUCAUUAAGUAUAUCUACCGACGUAGGAUAAGAAAAUCAAAGAAAAAAAUUGUUAACAAAAAUUCUUAUUAAGACGACGGUUUAAAUUAAAGGUACGACGUAUAAAAUGCAUAAAUACGACGUUAGAUUUUAUAGUACGAUUUAAAGAGAACGUCGUAGAACUAUACAAUAAUGACGUCGAUAUAUUUAUAUUUGUCGUCGUUGUAAAUUAAUUUAAUACGGCGAUAUUUUGUAUUUUACAGCCGUGGAUUUGUUUGUAAUUAGACAGCGUCUUAUACGAAAACCUCGUCGUGUUAUUUUAUAAGUAAAAACGGCGGCUUUUAUUGAAAUCGUCGUCUUUACUUUCUACGUCGGUCGAUUCAUAACUUCUGCCGUUCUUUGUUCGCUUUGAUUUUACACUGCGGAAAUCUGUUUCAAAUAGACGUCGGUUGUUUAAUUAAGUACGUCGUUGUUUUUGAACAGCCAUUUGAAUCUCCCUUUUUAGUUGUCUAAGGUGGUAUUAAACGACGGUGUUUUUAGAACCGUCGUCGUUUUAAAAACCACGACGGUUUUCACUGAGACCGUCGUUGUUUUCUGGUCGUCUUUUUCACUUUUUGUAGUAGUGUGUUACUGUUCAGUCUUUAAAGAAAAUAGUAUACAGCCUUUGCAAACAAAAAGAGAAAGCCAGAAGAAAGAAAAAAAGAAAACUGCCGCAACACCAAAGAGGUUUCAGACUUUUCUUGUCUUUUUCCUCAUUUUUUUCUCUGCAACAGCAAGUCUCUUGUGUCCUUGUUUUUUUUCCUUUUCUUCCAACUCCAACAAAGCGGCGUCAGCCACCUUCUUCUUUUUUCAUGUUUUGACUUUUCUUCUUCUCUUUCUCUGCAACACCAAGUCUUUUGUCCCCUUUGUUUUGCUUUUCUUCCAAUUUCAACAAAGUGGCGUCAGCCACUUCCCUUUUCUUUUCUUUUUUUGCUUGUUGACUUUUCUUCUUCUGUUUCUUCUUGGCUGCUGCUUCUUUUUUUAUUUUUUUUGUUGGUGUUAUCUACAACACCAAACCUGCCACACCAAGCCCAUACAAAAGAGAACCAACGUGCUGUCUUCAACCCUUUUUUUUUGGCCAUUGCAAUCAGAUUCAAACAGAGUGGCUAUGCCACUUCCUUCUUUGUUUAUUUUGAUUUCUUUGUUGAAUUUUUCUUCCUCUCCUUUAUGGUGGUUGUCCUAUUCUUUUCUUCAUGACUAACAUCUUUUUCAUUUUUUUUGAUGUAGUUUGCUCAGAGAGAAAAAUAAAGGCCUUCUCAAGCAGAGAUGGAGAGGAGUGGUGAGAGAUCCCAGGAGGUAAUUCACGCUCUUUUUUUUUUCUGUACAUUUUUUUGAAUUAACCCUCCAAACACCAUUUCCAUUUCAAAGGAUUUCCUUUUGCUCGGCAGAGCUUUGUUAAACAGGAAUCCUCUCAUGGAUUUGUUGUUCAUGAUUUAAGGGUUGCCACCCAUUAUGGAUUUAUUAUCCAAGAGUUUUAUUUGAGGGUUGCCACCCAAUAUGGAUUCAUCAUCCAAGAAAAUGAUUUGAGGGUUGCCACCCAACAAGAAUUAAUUGACAGGAUCCAUAUACCUGUGAAAAUGUCUUCUCUUGUAUUUGUGCUCCUCCAAUUUUUCUCCUGCAGCAGUUUUCUUCUUCUGUCCCUUUUCUCCUUCCUCCUUUUUUUUCUUUUUUAGUGCAGAAUACUUAUACUGAAAACUGAAUAAUCAGCUCCCCCAAAAAUAGGAGCCACUAAACUCUCUUAAACGUUUUCAUUGGUUUAGACCCCCACCUUUUUCCAAACUUCCCCCCCACCAAUCCAAUCCCACGUUCCAAUAUUUUUUUGUGAUUUUUUGUGAUUUUUUUAUUCCAACAGAUGCCCCCUCAAGCUUUGUGCGUGUGACACUUUUACGCGUGCAAAGCUUGAGAUGCCUUUAACUAGCAUUAUAAGUUAACAUAUGUAUAUAUUUUUUUGACCUUUGAUUUCAGGUGAUGGAUGCUUAUGGAAAUCUUCACAAGGAACAUGCUUCCGAUGAAUAUGGUAGGGCCAUCGCCUUUGGCCCCCAGUACAUGAGAUCUUGUCCUCUGAAUUCGAUCAGGCUUAUGGUGCCUCCUGAGAGUCGGACAACAUGGUUCACCACAGAUCACGUGAGUAGUGGACAUCUCAAAUUCAACCCCCAUGAAGAAGACCGAGUUAUUCAAAUUUCUCAAACAAAGGGCCCAUGUUUUCUAGCCCACUCUUUGAUGAAAGUAAACAAUGAGAUUGAAGGAGAUAAACAGUGUCUUCCUAGAGAUGAAUUUUAUCCGACUAUGCACAGGAUGCUUCGUAACAAAAUUUCAUGGGGAAGCAAUUUCAUUUUCGGUCGGGCUAACUUUCGAUCCUUUGUACUGGAGUGGACGGAGUCUAUUUUGAAUGACUUUGGUGAUGUCCUUCGUCAAGCUGAUAUAUAUGGGGCUGUGGCCAUUUCUCGGUACUCCUAUGAUUUUUGCCCUAAUGUUUGGAGAGCAUUCUGCGAGUUAUGGGGGCCUUUAUCCAACACAUUUCAUCACGGGAACGGUGAAAUGGGCAUUUCCUUAUACGACCUAAAAGUUAUUGGCGGGUUACCAAUUUUGGGUCUCCCCUAUGAUGAAUUUAUCCCUUUAAACAGAGAAUUAUGCCGUGAAGACUUGUAUCCUUCAACCAUUGGUGAACUUUUGAAAAUCCAUGCUCAACUAUGUGUUUUCCAUAAGAAAGGGCAAGUUUUCCACGAUCAAUGGAUUGAGCAUUUCUUUCGAGGGGAAGCCAUAUAUGGUGCUGCGGGGAAUAAAAAUAACAUAGUUCCCAAACAUACGGCCAAAGACCUCAAAUUUCCCUUGAACAUUUCACGUGAAGGACAAUUGGCUGCUUUUUUAGCCUUUUGGCUUAGCCGUUUUGUUUUGCCCCUUGAUAAUGCUAUAAGGCCAGAAUGUUUCUAUAUGGCAAGUUUGAUGGCGAGAGGGUUUAGAGUUUCACUUGCUCCAGCAGUGUUGGGACUUAUUUAUCAUGCCCUCGGUACAGUUGCUACUCAUCGUAAGGGUCCUGGUUUAGCAAAUGCAUAUCUUCCCAUUCAUUAUGUGAUUGGAUGGUUAGGGGAGCACUUUCCUGAUCUGAUCGACCGUCGGAGUGACAAUGAUUUUCCAGCACAUUACCCUCUUCUAGCGAGGUAUAGUCAGAUUGAAGCCAAAUAUGUCAGCUCUAAUCAAGCUAGAAUCAUCUUCAGGAGUGAGUUUAUGGUUUAUCGUCCCAGUGUCUUCCUUGCACAAGAAGAUUGCAUUCUUUUAGACACAGAGAGCCUUGCGGACGAUGCCUUUGAAUUCUUGGUUUGUAUGCGCUCUGCACUACUUCCUGUAAGGUUAGGUGGCGAUCUUUGGUUGGAGCCUUACUACCCAAAUAGAUUUGCUCGCCAGUUUGGCUUUGAUCAAGGAGUUCCGGAGAAUAAACUUUUAUUUAGUGUAUGUGAGAGGCAGCGAUGCGGGAUUGAGAAGUUGGUGAGAGCCCAAGUAGUCCUUCUGCGCAAAGAUACCACAGCGCGUUUCUAUAUUCCGCGCUCCACCCGCAUUGGGGAAUGCUCUUGGUGGUAUUGUAGAUGGUGGAUGACUGCAUGUGCACCUUAUAUGGGCUUUUCUGUGUCAAAAAUUUUCUCAGUGGUAGACAGGCAUGUCCCAAGGAAGGACCACGUCUUUGUGACUGAUAAUUUGAAAAGUAUUUCGACCGGCAUGAGCAAAAGCGGCUUUAAUUCAUCUUCACUUCCUCGUGGUGCUUCUUUGAGCAGAGGACACAAGAAGAGAAUUCCCAAUGCUAAAAGGGAACAUUUCUCAGGGGUUAAUCACGUGAUGCACCAAUCCCAAAGGAUUAAUCGAGACUCACACCACAAACGGGCGCGACAUGCAGAUCACAACAAGGUUAAGGAUGGAAGCUCUAGCCAUGUUCUUGACGAAGAGAGUUCUAAUCCGGUGCAGGGGGAAAUGAGAUUUGACGACAUCCUUUUUCCUCGUGAAAUGGAGCCUAUUAACGUGGAUAACCCAGCCUUUGAAGUCAUUUCUUCAGGUGAAGAGGAAAAUAUUCAUCAUGAGAGUGCUAACUCCAGCAUGGGUGGUAGUGGGUCAGACUUCCUGGCUGAAGUGUCUGAAUUUCAACAAGUUCAGAAUAGCCCAGCUGAUGAUCAGUUUCCUGAAAGUGUUGGGCCUAUAGCAGUUGUGCGGCCCUUCCAAAAUUUGGUAUCAGUUGAGAACUUUGUUCAUCAGAUUUUUGGGAAUGGGGUAAACCAGAAUAGGCGGGAGUUUAUCAGUAGAGAAAUUGAAGGUAUCUUUAGCAGACUUUACUCCUCAGAGACACCUGCUCAACUUCAUAUGCACCAUUCUGAGAUCAUCAAGGCCCUUCGACUUUUGGGGUCAACCGUUGACAUUCUUGGGUGUGGUGAAACUGCAUUUAAGCAGUUUGCCCAGCUUGUUGAUUGGAUUUUUGAGCUUGCCAGGCGACAUUCCAAGAGCAGUGCCUAUAUUGAAGCCUUAGGAGAUGUGAAUAUUGAUGUGAUUCAUGAUUUGAUCCGCCAACACGAGGAAUGUUUAAACACCAAGCUGGCUCUUGAGGGAGAACUUACAGAGGUUGCUAAAGAGAUUGAAGACUUGGAUGUCAAGGAAGUUACCAUCAGGGAAGCAGAAGAGAGAGUUCGCCAGAUGCGGGAAGAGCAUGAAGCUAAGAAAACUUCCCUUAAUAUGCAAAAGAUGAACUUGGAGAUUUCUUUGGAGCAUCAGAACGAACAAGCAAUACAGCUUCAACAAUCCAGAAUUGAUGCUAAAGAAGAUCUACUUCCCCAUAUCGGGAGCACUCGACUGUCAAUGAAGGCUCAAGAGCAAGAGAUCCACCGCCUAAUCAAUGCCCUGUUUUCUUCUUGUAGCGAGCUCUAAGUGAUGAGCCUACUAUCAUUAUUAUUCUUUUUGUUUAGCAUGAUUUUUCCCUUCAAUAAAUGUUCUUGUGGUAUGGUUUAUCCACCAAGAAUUUGUAGGUAGGCCUUUGCUUCAGUAUUCUUUUGCUCUUGUAAUGUAGUUUUUCCACCAAGAACAAUUUUCAGAAUAAAGAUUUUGUCGGAUUUUGCUUUUCUAUUUCACAGUUUAUACUCGUGCGAAGUUGGAGUUUUUGCGUAGUAUACAACAGUUUAACCACGUGCUAAUACCAUCGGUGGACAAGAAUGAAUUUAUGAUAGUUUACGGCUGCAUCUAGCUUUUGGGCUAGCUUGCCUACAUACCCUGUGAAGGGAUCAAGCCGAACGUAGUUCACCCUCCUUGAAUUGAGGUAAUGAAGGGGGAUUUUGGGUCUUGUGACUGAAUCUAGCUUUUUAGAGACUAGACUGCCUACGUACCCCUUUUUUAGGGAUCAAGUCAACCGUAGUUCUUUGGUUGGGUCGCCCUUUCGGGUUUUCAACCCACAAAGCCUAAUAAUUUUUUUAUUUUUUUAUUUUUGGUGCUCUAAUUUUUGCUUGGGCCGCCCUUUCGGGUUUUCAUCCCAACGAGCAUUUUUUAAUUUACCCUAACUUUUGCUUGAACAGCCCUUUUGGGUUUUCAGUCCAACGGGUCUUUUUUUUUUUUUUUUUUUUUUUUUUAAACAUCAGGCGUAAAACUUCUUGACGAAUUUCCCGUUCACACAAGGAUAUAUGCACUUGCCUUCGGAGUUUGACAACUCGUAGGCACCCUUGGAGAAAACCUUAGUAAUGACGUAGGGCCCCCUCCCACUUGGGUUCAAACUUACCAUGCAUUUUCCUAGUAAUGACGAAGGGUCUUCGGACAGUUAAAACCAAGUCUCCAAUUGAGAAAGAUCUGAACUUAACUUUUCUGUUGAAUGCCCCUGCCACCUGAGCCUGAUAUAUUUCGAGCCUUUGUUGAGCCGCCAAUCUUUUCUCAUCGAGAGCUUCCAGUUCUGCCAGUCUCACAUUUGCGUUCUCGUCGGGGUUUGUUAGCUGUAAUGCUACCCUUAACGAUGGCAAUUGGACUUCUAACGGUAGAACAGCCUCGGAACCAAACACCAAAUUGUACGGUGUACAUCCUGUUGAGUUGCGUAUGGUCGUCCUGUAAGCCCAUAAUGCUUCAGGGAGGCGUUCAUACCAAUCUCUUUUGUUUCCUGAGACCAUCUUCUUUAGGAUAUUGCACAAUACUUUAUUGAAAGCUUCAGCUUGACCAUUUGACGACGGAUUGUAACUCGCGGAGAACGAGUGUUGAAUCUUAUACUUCUCGCACAACUUGGUCAUGGACUUGCAUUUGAAAUACAAUGCAUUGUCAGAUAUAAUCUUCGAUGGAACUCCAUAACGGUAGAUGAUGUGGUUCCUUAUGAAGUUUGUAACAUCGUCUGCUCGUACCUCCUUUAAAGGAAUUGCUUCAGCCCAUUUAGAGAAGUAAUCAGUCGCGGCCAAGAUGUAUUGAUGUUGACGUGAUGACUUAGGCUUUAUCAUGCCAAUAACAUCUAAUCCCCAAGCUUCAAAUGGCCAAGACAAAGUUGUCGGAUGCAAUUGUUGGGGAGGUUGGUGAAUAAAGUCUCCAUGUAAUUGGCAAUCUUUACAUGUGGUUGCAAAUUUUAUUGAGUCUCGGACCAUUGUUGGCCAGUAAUAACCCAAUCUCUUCAGUUGGUUUGAAAGUUUUGGACCAGCUUGAUGAGCACCACAAGUGCCAGCAUGAGUAUCAUGAAGGGCCUUAGUUGCAUCUUGUUUCGACAGACACCUUAACAACAUACCAUCAAAUGAUCUUUUGUACAAGGUAUCAUUUAAGUACAGAAAUCGAGUGGCUCUGCGUCGGACUUCAGCCUUUUUCCUUGAGUCAUUUGGCAACUUGCCAAAUAGUAGAUACUCGAUUAUGGGAUGGCGCCAAUCAAGAUCAUCCGGUUCCUCCUCACAUUCGGAAGACGUAAUAACGUUUGAAUCCACAACUUCUUCAAUUCUCUCUAUAGCUGGGGGUAGUAAAUAACGUUCCCCAACGGUGACUUGGAUAUCCCUUUCGCUAGGUAGUGUUAACGAUGCAGCCAAAUUAGCUAGUGCAUCAGCUUUAUCAUUUUCUGACCUCGGGAUGUGACUAACAUGAAUGUCUUGAAACUGUGACAUGAGAUACUUAGCCCUUUCAUGGUAUGGGACGAGAGUAGCAUUUCUGACUGCAUAUUGACCAUUCAACUGUCUGACGGCCAACUGUGAAUCACCAUAUGCUUGCAAACAAUCAAUAUGCAUCUCGAGGGCAAUUUUAAGGCCAAUGAUGAGUGCCUCGUAUUCUGCCACAUUAUUCGAACAUAAAGCUAGUAAGGAGAAUGAGUAUGGGAUUAAGCCCCCAGACGGCGUGAUGAAUACUACUCCUGCCCCAGCUCCGUUUCUUCUUGCUGCCCCAUCAAAAUAUAGUUGCCAUGUAAGUGCUUCUAUUGUGAACACCUCUUCAUCAGGCAAAUCUGCAGGUAACUCCAUGUUGUCGGGAGUAGGAUGAGCAGCCAAGAAAUCAGCAAGAGCUUGCCCUUUGAUCGCCUUUUGUGGCACAAAUUUUAUCUCAAACCCAGAGAGGAGGAGUGACCACUUGGCUAUUCGCCCAGAGAGCACAGGCUUGGACAUUAAAUAUCGGAGCGGAUCUGCCUUGGAAAUCAAGAUGACUCUAUGAGAGAGGAUGUAGUGUCGUAGUUUCUGGACAGCAAACACUAAUGCAAGGCAGACCUUUUCGAUAGGGGUGUAAUUUUGUUCUGCCCCUACGAGUGUUCUACUCAAGUAGUAGAGUGCAUUUUCCUUUCCAUCAUCAUUGUGUUGAGCGAGCAAUGCCCCCAACGAGUGUUCUAACGCUGCAAUAUACAAGAUUAAGGGCUUCCCUUUAAUUGGCUCCAUAAGAACUGGCGGAUUUAAUAGGUAUUGCUUAAUGCUUUCCAAGGCAUUUUGACAUGCUUGAUCCCAUACAAACGGAACAUCCUUCUUCAUGAGCCUCGAGAAUGGUUGGCACCUUCCAGAGAGAUUUGAGAUGAACCGUCGUAUAUAGGCUAGUCUCCCUUGCAACCCUCGCAACUCCCUUAAAUUUUGAGGGGGAGGCAUUUCACGGAUUGCCUUGAUUUUUGAGGGAUCAAUUUCAAUUCCUCGAUGUCGGACAACGAAGCCAAGGAAUUUGCCUGAAGUUACCCCAAAUGCACACUUCAAGGGGUUCAUUUUCAACUGGAGCUUUCGGAGUCUAUCAAAAACUCGUUUUAAGUCACUCAAAUGAUGUUCCCUUUUCCUGGUUUUAACCACCAAAUCAUCAAUGUAACACUCAAUAGUAUUAUGAAGCAUGUCAUUGAAAAUUGUUGUCAUAGCUCUUUGGUAAGUUGCCCCAGCAUUUUUCAACCCAAAAGGCAUCACAGUGUAGCAAUAUAUUCCUUUUGGAGUGCGGAAGACAGUUUUUUCUUGAUCCUCUGGAGCCAUUUUUAUUUGGUUGUAACCUGAGAAUCCAUCCAUGAACGAUAGAGCAGCAAAACCGGUUGUUGCAUCUACCAAUAAUUCUGUGAUUGGGAGCGGAAACUCAUCUUUUGGGCAUGCGUCAUUGACAUCUCUAUAGUCCACGCAUAUACGCAGUGCCCCAGUUUUUUUUUUUAGGACUGGAACAAUAUUGGACAACCAAGUGGGAUAGUGGACUUCUCGAAUAAAACCGGCAGCAAUAAGCUUGUCAAUCUCAAUUUCUAUUUGGAUUGUUAGCUCUGGCCGAAAACGGCGUGGCGCUUGCUUCACCCAUCGAGCCUCGUUAGGUAUCCCAAGUUUGUGAACUGCAACGUUUGGGUCUAACCCUGGCAUGUCUUGAUAACUCCAUGCAAAUACGUCUCGGUACUCUUGCAACAGUUGUGUGUAUUCUUCUAACUCUUGCGGCGUUAACGAAGCACUGACAAAGAUAGGUUUUGGGUCGUCAACUGUACCAAGAUUAAUUUCUUGCAGAUCAUCAAGUGUGGGUUGACCACCCUCCUCCAUUUGGGGUGGAGCUGGUUGGACUAUGUCAAUGAAUCCCUCGAUAUCUUGAGGAUCAUCAUCUUGGUCCACUGCUUCUUUGAAAGAGGUGCAAUUGACUUGGACAAGGUCAUCCUUUAUUUUCACCCUUUUGACCUUCUCGAUCACGGCUUUCUCUUGACUCCUAACCUUCCAUUUCCUUUUAUUAUGGACUUUCCCUUGUUGAGAAUUGGAAGGGUUUUCCAAGCGGUGAAAGACUGAGAUGCGGGAUGGCUGUCUGCUCCCUAAGCGUUUGAACACAGAGACGCGGAGCGGCCUUAUAUUCACCUCAUCUUCUCUAAACAUAGCUUGUUCCAUAUUAGUGAGUAUCUCGGACUCGGAAACUUCCAGCUGUGGCCUUCGAAGAAACACUUUGAGCACACCACUCUCAUUUUGAACUGUGAGGCCAGCAUUGCUUUUCUUUGUUUUACGGCCUGUAAGUUUUAUCUUUAAUGGAGUAAAUGUUGUUUCUGGCAAUGAUUCUUUUUUGUGAAGAACUAUACGUUUACUCAGGCCCUUGUUUUUGCCAAAAGUAGUCGAAAUGACCAAAUCGUCCCCUGGGAUAGAUUGACUGAUCUUACGAAGAGGACGAAUGUAGCUUGCCGUCAUCAGUGACUCCAUUGUUUGUUUCGAGGAGCUUGUUUCCUUUUCACUAGGCUUCUUUUUUGAAGUCUUGACAAUUAUCUUUGGCUUCGGAGCCUUUGCAGUCGGGAUUUCUUCCACUUUUGAGAAUGACGUACCACGAGGUUUUAGCUUCACUCGAAUUACGUUUGAAGGUUUGGGUACUUCUACCUUUUGUGCCUUUCCUGUUUCAACAGUCACUCUUUCCUCUUUAUCAACCUUUGAUGGCUGUGUGAAUGAGAUACCUGGUGGACUGUAAAAUUUCGCAUCUGAGUAAUUUACCUCUUCGCCUCUGAACGGGUCCAUGUCAGCUGAAACGCUCUUGACUUCCCCAUCCAUCGAGUAUUUGAAGCACUGGUGAAGUGUGGAAGGGACUACUCCAUAUGUAUGGAGCCAUGGGCGUCCUAGGAGAACAUUGUAUGAAGUGUCAGCAUCGAUCACAUGGAAUAGGGCAUCUGAAUAUAGUUCCCCUAUUUCCAUUUGCAGUGCGAUAGAACCCAUGGCUCUUUGCCCAAGUUGAUUGAACCCUUGAAUAGUCAGCAUAGAUGGAGAUAAUUGUCGGGCACUCAUCCCUAUAGCAUGGAGUGUCUUUACAGGGAUAAGAUUCACAGCCGAACCACAAUCUAACAAGAUUCUAUUGAUGAUCGUGCCUCCAACUUCGCCAGUGACAUAAAGAGGUCGAUUAUGGAAUUUGGAUCCAAGUAAGAAGUCAUCUUCACCGAAGGUAAUUGCUGCCAGACACGAUGCACCAAACUUCGAGGUUUCAGUUGUGUGGACAUCUACUAAUUUGAAACAUGAUUUGUACAAAUUCGGGCUCUUUAAAGCCAUUACAAGUGCUUCUCUAAGCUCUCUCGACAUUUGUAAAGCGUCAUAAACACUUAAAGGAGCGGGGAUGCGCUUAAGAUGAGCCAAUAUAUCAUACUUAAGUGCAUGUGAUUGUGAAGGCUCUUUUGUUUUACUAGUGUCGGGCUCAAGGUCUUUUGCUUUUGAAGAGGACGAUGGAACUUCCCUUGCAACAGCUUUUUCCGGCAAGGAGACCUUAAUCUCUUUCGCCUUUGACUUCUUCUCUGUUUUAAAGGGAUCAGCUUCUUCAUUUUCGUGUUGUUUAUUGGCAGAUGGGAUGCUCCGACCGGAGCGGAGGUUAAUCUCAUCAACCUCUGUGUCAACCUCAUAUUCUCCCACAGAAACCAUAUUGCAUUGGAUAAUUUCUUCUUCAACCUCGGAUUCACUCGAGAAGAAAUCAACUGGCAAGAAUUCGGUGAGUGUGACAGGGACCCUUGCGGGUUGCUCAUAUUCAUCCUCUUGAGGGAUAUGAACCUUCUUUUGCACCUUCUUCUUCUUCCUUUUAUUUUUCAAGGCUGGCAUGCCUCGAAUCUUGACACCAGGACGAGAAAAAGAUUUGUGAUUGGGUGGGAAAUGUUUGGCCAUGUGCUUGGCUCUUUUAACAAAUGUCUUCCACCCCUCAGCAGAUUCGUCGGCCGAAGAAUCUUCCCAUUCCUCUAGACUGGGUGCAGUCAUAAGCUCAUGAAGAGCGGGAAUUUGAAGAUCACUAGACCACGGUGCUUUUGGAUAGGCAUGUAUAAUUGUACCCCCAUUGUCAGUAUUAAUACCUGCAAGUUUCACUCCGUCUGGUGGUGUAGUGGUAGGUGUGAGCUUUUCCUCUAUCAUAUUUGCUGCAGCUGAAUGAUGUUGGGGAGAAGAGUCUAUCACCAAGCCACCAUUGUUGAGGAGCUCUUGAAUUUUGUCUUUCAAGAUAUAACAAUCCUUGAGCGUAUGACUGAUGAGGCAAUGAUACCGACAAUACCUAGGGUCAUUUGUCUUGUUAGCCUCAGCAGGACGCUUUGGUUCUGGCAAAGCAAUACCAUUGGAGGCCAAAAGUUGGUCAAAGAUUUCUUCUACAUCCUCAUCAUCGAAAGAAUAUUUAACCUCUUUGCGCUCUUUGAGAGUGAGCCUUUUGGGUGGGUCUUUGCUUUGGCCUUUGUCAUUUCUCUUUUCUGUUUUAACAAAAGUGGCCAAUGACUCUCCUUUUGAAGACUUCUUGUCAUUUUUCUUCUCCCCAAAUUGAAUUUUUUGGGUCACGGACUUUUGAAGAGCAAUUUGUCUUUCAACAUUGCUCGCCUUUGACACCAAGGCAUCAAAUGAUUGGGGUUCAGCAGUGGCAACAAAAGUCGCAAUAUCUGGUAUGAGGUUGUUGUAGCACAUUUGCACGGCUGAUUGCUCGGUAAUUUUCUCCGGGCAUUGAAGAUUGAGGCUCCUCCAUCUCAUUAUGAAGUCAUUAGCACUUUCCCCUGGCUUUUGGGUAGUUUUAGCUAGGUCCAUGAUCGAGACCUUCUUCUUUGAGCUAACAAACUGUGCCAAAAAUGCUUUUUGCAUGUCGUCCCAUGUCAGGAUAGAACCUGGCGGCAGUUGUGUAUACCAAGUGAAAGCUGACCCUUUUAGGGAUUGGACAAAUUGACGCACCAGAAGAGCGUCUGACUGAGAUGUCUCGCCACAUGCUGAGUAAAAAUGUGCCAAAUGUUCAUGGGGUGAGCUACUUAUGCCAUCAAAUUUAUCAAAUAUAGGCCAUUGAUAACCCUUCGGGAAUGGUAUGGCGUCAUAGUGAGAAGGGAAAGGUUUUCGAUACCCUUGAACAGGAGGUGCUAUAGACAAUUGGAACUCACGAAUUCCUUCAGCAAUUAACACCUUUAUGUCAUUUGGGGAAAUUGUGCUCGUAGAGCUUUCUGCUUUUUCCUCUUUUGUUUGUUGUUCAUGGGCGGUCGAUUCAUUUGUUUUGCCCAUGUCUUGCUCACCUAUGAUGUUUUUUCCUUUCAGCCGAGCGGAUAGUAACGCUAUUUCCGCGUCUUUUUCUGCCAACUUCUGCUGCAUUUCCCUUCGCAGGUCUUGCAUCAUUUCUUGGAUUAAAGGUAACUGGUCCUCAGUAUUAGAAGUACCAGUCAUCAUGACUUGCAUGCUUUCCACUCCCUCAUGAAGUUUGGCCCCUUGGGAUGAUAUACAAUCAUUCUCUUGAGUUUGAGAUACAGGAUCAUCAUAGAGAGGAUUCCAUUGCAAAUAAUCAUCCAAGGUUGAGCUUAGACUGGAUAACUCGGGAAUAAUCGUCCCAACCAUGUUUCGGGAUUUAGAACAAGUCAAUGGACCCACGUAGGUCCUCGACUGAUCUUGAGGUUUUGGGACUCCCCCUUGUGAUACGGGAAUUUGAUCCCUUGAAACAUCAGUUAUCUUCACCUUUUUCACGCGUUUCCUUUGUGGAUGAGGUAUGUUCACCACCUUCUUUUUCAUGACGAUGGCUCUGCUUUUACCCUUAGGAGAACAUGGGUAAACCUCUUGUAAUGUGGAUUCCACCACAUGGGCUCUAAGGCUUGAUGGAGGUUCGGCCCCUUAGACCUCGACAUUCUUCACGAAGUCGUCCUUUUGACCUUCACCUCUAGCUUCGUUGGUGGAAGUCAUCAGAACAGAAUCUGUAGGAUAUAGAUUGACUGGAAUUGAUCCAAUCAUGAUUUGGACAAAUCGGGAAGUAUUUGUUCUCUUGGGAGUCGGCACAGCCAGGGUGGUUAAGGUGUUCUUGCCCUCAGUCAUUAUUGGGCUUGUCCCAGAAAGCUGGGAUAAGAUUGCCUCAAUAGACUCCUUUUUUGCUUCUUUCUUUCUUAAAGCACGCGCAGCCCUCUUUCUUCCAUUUCGGAGAGCGUUCUUGGACGGAGUUUUCUUCAAUUGGGUCUUGACGACCUUAGGAGUGACCUGGGGUCUGGCCCUCUGAAUGGGCUUUGGAACAGUGCACUUGAUGAGGCUCUCAUCAACAAUGAAAGUCUUUUUGAACCCUACUCGUUUGGUGCACGCUUUCUUGGUAGUUUCAAUUUUGUGGAAGAAAAUCGUUACUUGUGGUGCCAUCGUAUCUGGUUUUGUUAACCUGUGAAAAACACAAAUAAAUAAAACAAACAUUAGUCACUUUACGAUUAGAGAUGAAAAGGUAAAUGGAUCCCACCGGGCGUGCCAAAAAUUAUGUUGAAGGAAAAUUGUGAUCUUCCAAAUAUAAUUUCACCACCACUAAUUAAAUAAUGGGGUUUUAUUAUUUUAGGUUCGACCCAUUCGAGACGCAAGUCUCUUAAUUACAAUCCCUUGCUUCAAGGGAAAACCCUUUGAUUCCAUCAUAAAGAAACAGAACGUGUGUGUUUGAUUUUGCAGCUGCUCCCAAGUCCAACCUCAGGAUGCCUACGUAUCCCUUGCGGGAAUCAAGCCACUCGUAGUUCAAAGAUUCAUGAUGAAUAAAUGACUCAUCGCAAAACGAAGAAUUUGAAUGAGUUUGAUUGAGGAGUGUUUGAGUGAAUUUAGCUGAAUAAACCAGGGAUUCGAUAUGGAAAUAUGUUUGGGAUGGUUGCAUCUAGAUUGAAUCUCUAGAUUGCCUACGUACCCUUUUAAGGGAUCAAACCAACGUAGUUCGAAAAAUUUAGAAAUUAAUGGGUAAGUGUGGCCCAAUAAUUUAGAGUUGGUGUCUUUGAGACGAUUUGAAGAUUUUCAUAGGUAGAUGACCUAUGGGGAAAUUUUGAAAUUAAUGGAUAAGUGUGGCCCAUUAAUUGAGAAUUUGUGUUUGGGAUAUUUGAAUUUAAUCUCAUUGGAAUUUUCAUGGGUAGAUGACCCAUGGGAAAAUUUGGAUGGUUUUGUAAGACUUUUUUUCUUUUUGUCAAUGUCCCAGAAAAUUAAUGAGCAAUUUUGAUUAACCCACUAAUUUUCUAAAGUUGACAUUUGCACUUGGACCCAAAUAUGGUUACAAGGAUUUUUUUUUUUUAAUUAAUUCAUUAACCAUAUGAUAGGGAAUUUGGGCCUUAGGAAAUUUAAUGGGUAAUUAUUUGAGUUACCCAUUAAUUAUAUGGGCUUCUGAGAGUCAAUGGAUAAUUAUUCUCUGACAGCCCAUAAUUCUAUUUUGGGCUUUUGAUGUUUGUUGAUAGCUAGCCCAUGAGCAUGGAGCCCCAAAAAAAACUUUGGUCCAGCAGGCGAUUAGCUAUCCAACUCUUUGCAGAGUUUGUUUCCAAGUAAAAUCAGACCUUGCAAUCCCAUCUUUAUCUGGAAUACUUGUGAUCAGUCCGAAUUACAAGCAAACACUGUUACUGUUCAGUCUUUAAAGAAAAUAGUAUACAGCCUUUGCAAACAAAAAGAGAAAGCCAGAAGAAAGAAAAAAAGAAAACUGCCGCAACACCAAAGAGGUUUCAGACUUUUUUUGUCUUUUUCCUCAUUUUUUUCUCUGCAACAGCAAGUCUCUUGUGUCCUUGUUUUUUUUCCUUUUCUUCCAACUCCAACAAAGCGGCGUCAGCCACCUUCUUCUUUUUUCAUGUUUUGACUUUUCUUCUUCUCUUUCUCUGCAACACCAAGUCUUUUGUCCCCUUUGUUUUGCUUUUCUUCCAAUUUCAACAAAGUGGCGUCAGCCACUUCCCUUUUCUUUUCUUUUUUUGCUUGUUGACUUUUCUUCUUCUGUUUCUUCUUGGCUGCUGCUUCUUUUUUUGUUUUUUUUGUUGGUGUUAUCUACAACACCAAACCUGCCACACCAAGCCCAUACAAAAGAGAACCAACGUGCUGUCUUCAACCCUUUUUUUUGUGUCCAUUGCAUGCAGAUUCAAACAGAGUGGCUACGCCACUUCCUUCUUUGUUUAUUUUGAUUUCUUUGUUGAAUUUUUCUUCCUCUCCUUUAUGGUGGUUGUCCUAUUCUUUUCUUCAUGACUAACAUCUUUUUCAUUUUUUUUGAUGUAGUUUGCUCAGAGAGAAAAAUAAAGGCCUUCUCAAGCAGAGAUGGAGAGGAGUGGUGAGAGAUCCCAGGAGGUAAUUCACGCUCUCUUUUUUUUUUCUGUACAUUUUUUUGAAUUAACCCUCCAAACACCAUUUCCAUUUCAAAGGAUUUCCUUUUGCUCGGCAGAGCUUUGUUAAACAGGAAUCCUCUCAUGGAUUUGUUGUUCAUGAUUUAAGGGUUGCCACCCAUUAUGGAUUUAUUAUCCAAGAGUUUUAUUUGAGGGUUGCCACCCAAUAUGGAUUCAUCAUCCAAGAAAAUGAUUUGAGGGUUGCCACCCAACAAGAAUUAAUUGACAGGAUCCAUAUACCUGUGAAAAUGUCUUCUCUUGUAUUUGUGCUCCUCCAAUUUUUCUCCUGCAGCAGUUUUCUUCUUCUGUCCCUUUUCUCCUUCCUCCUUUUUUUUUCUUUUUUAGUGCAGAAUACUUAUACUGAAAACUGAAUAAUCAGCUCCCCCAAAAAUAGGAGCCACUAAACUCUCUUAAACGUUUUCAUUGGUUUAGACCCCCACCUUUUUCCAAACUUCCCCCCCACCAAUCCAAUCCCACGUUCCAAUAUUUUUUUGUGAUUUUUUGUGAUUUUUUUAUUCCAACAGCUAUAAAGUGAACCCCUUAUAACUUACCCCUUAUAACUUUCCACUCAUUAUAGUCUGAGCGAAUAAGUUCUAUAUCCAAGAGACUAAUGGGCCUCGUGAAGUAUAUUUAGAGCAAAGUUACAUAAAGGGAAGACAUUGCAUUUGCUCUGCAUCCGCUUGAAUAGCUUUGAGAUUGCCAACGAAUUGUUCAACUUCUUUCUUCACGUUCAAAACAAGUUACCUCCUCUUCUAUGAAUUAGUUAUUGAAGGCAAGGUUAACGAUAUUAACGACUUUUCUAGCUUAAGAACACACACCAAAUCAAAGUUACUCAAGUUACUCAAGGCAAACAAAACACAUCUUCUAGAGGAACAGAAAAACUGGGAACUGAUACACAAUAAAAUAAGAGAGAGCCAAAUUCACCAGUUCCUCAAGAGUACAUUUUACGAAUUAAUGACACAAAGGAAGUUUUGCAAAUGAUCAAUACACCAGUAGAUUAGUUAAAUAUAAGGUGCUUACAAAACAAAAAAAUCAGGGCAAUCAUCAAGCUCAGUAGACCUUCCAAAUUCACCAUGUCUCUGUCAAGGCAGUGAUGAAAAUAAUCAAAAUUUCAGUUAUUGGAACUUCCGUAGGCUGACACUUGAUGAUUUACAUCACUCUAAUUGCUUCAAUAGGGUCCCUGAAAUGACGACACAUACAUAGUUGAUCAAUUAAUUUGCUUCUUGCAAUCAUUUCUUAAAACAAGCACAACUCCAAAAUCUCAUAAAAAUACCCAAAACACUCAAUAAGGGCAUCAAAGUAAUUUAAUAAUCAAUAUUAAAUUCAAUAAUACCAGCUGUCAUUUUUUAGUUUGUUUAUAAAAAUUCAAUGGUGUAGAGUUUAUCUAUAAUAUUUGUGCUAAGAAGGAAUAUAUCACUAAAUAUCUCAAAAAAAUAAGGAUACCCAUCAAUGUUUGUAAAUCAAAAGCUCAGUAGACCUUCGAAAUUCAAGACUGACUUUUGAUGAAAAUUAUCAAAAUUUCAGUUAUUGGAAUUUCCAUAGGCUGACUUUGAUCAUUUCUCUUAGACAUUUUUCGAUUCGGGAAUUAAAUUUUUGAGAAACAACUAAAGCACGCAGAUUAAACAAAACAACAAACCUCGUGUGGCAUAACAAGUAAAUUAGUUUAUUAAUACUAGCUAGCUAAUUGAAAAUUAACUCAAGAGAUUUAACAAAACAAACAUCAAAGCACCUUUCAUACUCAUUUGAAAAAUCCUCUUAAUAGAAAAAUCAUGAUAUCAUAAAUGCGAACAAUUACUUACAUUUUUAGUGGGAAGAAAAAUACCUAGCGAGUCACCAUCUCAAGAUUAUAUAUGCCGCCGAGACAGAUGUUUCAUAAAUGUGCCUAGCGAGUCAUCACCUUUUGGAGAUUUUCAAGGAAACAAAUAUGAUCAUUGUUGGAAUUCAUACAUAAGUAGGUAAAUAAGAGAUUGCUAGAGCUCAAUUACCUGGAGCAAAUACGGAUGUUUGGGAUCUUAGCAGAAAUCUUGGCCCACUCUCCAUUGCCUUCUUCGUAAUGCUCUGCAAGUCUCCGACAUUUGGUGAUGUCAAGAGUCCGCAGUGGUGUUUUGAAGAUGAAGUCUGGCAGUGCUUUUAGCAAUUCGCAGUCUUCAAUUAUUAACUCAGAAAGGCAUGGCAUGAUUGUAAUUUCAGAAUCUUCUUUGGUCCACUCUUCCACGCCUUCCCACUCUUCCCAAUUCGACAUGCCGUAAAAGUAGAGUUGUUUCAAUUUUGGGAAUAAUAUUUGGGGGGAUCUGAUUCUGAAUGAGGUUUGAUCUUCUAAUCCCAAAAAUUCAACACCGACCUUUUUCACUCCUUCCAUUCUGUAUAGCUCCAGUCUUUCAAUGCAUUCCAAUUUCCCAAGAGGCCAAAAUUCACACAGUGUCCCCCCAGCAACAGUAAGGAAUCUCAAAUUGUGUAAAGACUGAAUCCAAUUGGGCCACGUGGUGCCAUUAUGAUACCCAAUCCCUAAAGAUUCCAAAUCUGGGUGCGGUCGUAAGGCAUUCAGUAUUUCUACACUACUACUACUACUACUACUGUUCGUCCGCCCUGCAAAAUUAACAGUGAGAUUAAAUAGCUUUUUGUCCCACAAUUGUGCUUUCUCAACCUCGCUCUUAUCUGUCGCAUCCCCCCGAAGUUGUAUUUCCAGACUUCCCUCAAGGUUCAAGUUUCUCAGAUCCCCAAUUUGGAAUGCUUCAUCUUUGUCGCCACCACAUGGACACACAUCUAGUGUUUGCAAACUUGUUAAUCUCCCUAUCACUUUGGGAAACGACUCCAGAAGACCACAAUACUUAACAUAAAGAUGCUUUAAGUUAAUCAAGUUUCCCAUGUUUUCAGGCAGUUUUGUAAGUUUAGAGCAGCCCACAAGGCGCAAGGUUGACAAAUUGUACAAACCACAAAUAGUGUCUGGUAAUUUCUUCAGUAUAUGAUUGGAAGACAAAUCAAUAUGCCUCAAAUGUAUCAAUUCACCAAUCUCCUUCGGGAGUUCUUCGAUGGAAUUACGACUCAAAUUUAAUGUCCUAAGACAUUUCAAUUGUAAAAUUAAAUUUGGGUCUAUGGUAGUAAUUCUUGAAUCAAAAGUUGCGAGCGUGCGGAGAUUUUUGCAAUUGUAAGAUGAGAUAAAAAGUGGAAGUGGACCUUCAGGAAUAUAUCUCAAGGUUAAAUGACGAACCUUAUCACCAAAUACCUUUGAUUCACUGGUAAUUUCCUCACCAUGAUCGAUAAUCAAACACUCAUUCUUGGUGAGAAAUUGUACAAAGUCAUGCACAAUAUCAUGCAUUUUGCAACCUAUAAUGGUACCGGUGUCAGGAUCUCUCUCAAAAUCUUGGAAAAAUGACCGUGCCACUAAGUUGUCAAAAACUGCAUCACCCGUUGUUCCCUUUUCUUUAUUCCCUUUCGAAAUAACAUAGUCUUGUGCCAUCCAAAGUUUAAUCAAAUCAUCUCGUUCAAACUUGUGAUCUUUUGGAAAAGUAGCACAAUAUAAAAGACAACAUUUAAUUGUUGGGGCCAAAUCAUUAUAACUUAGGAAUAGGGGUUGGAAAACUUCUUGCUCGACCUUCUCUAGAUCCCAUAUCUUACUAUGCAAAACUUCUUUCCAUUCUCCCAUUUUUGUCUUAUUCUGCAUGAGACUACCCAAAGUCUUUGCAGCAAGAGGCAAACCUUUACACUUCUUUACAAUUUCCUUACUAAUAUCUCCAAACUCAUGUACAUCCCUAUCCCAAAAGGCCAUGUGAUUGAAGAUUGACAAACAACAUUCAUCAUUCAACUCUCCCAGAUUGAUCUUGUUUCUUGUUGCUCUCAUCAUGUCAGCAACCUCAUGUUUUCUUGUGGUCACCAAUAUUCUGUUGCCUUUAGCACCAUUUUGGAUUAAUGGUACCUUUAAUUGUUCCCACUUUUUAGGAUCAUCGGUCCAUACAUCAUCCAGGACAAGAAGAAACCUUUUGCCCUGGAUGGAUGUAGACAUACAUUGCAAGACCUCAUCCAACUCAUUUGAAUUUGGGGCGUUUUUACCAAUAAUGGCUUUGGCAAUCUUAAUCUCAUCAAAAGGGUCUGAAACACAAACCCAUUUCCUCAACUCAAAAUGGGUUUUGACUCGGUCAUCAUUAUAGGCUAGUUGGGUUAAAGUUGUUUUGCCCAUGCCUCCCAUCCCGACAAUAGGGAUGAUAAGGAACCCCUUCCCUUCCGCACUACUAUCACUCAACAAGUGUGUUAUCAAAUCCUUUUUUUCAUUUUCUCGACCAAAUAUCUCAGAUAUAUCGACAAAAGAUGCAGUUUGAGGUCGUUGAGGUUGUUGAGGUUGUUGAAUGCCUAAUUCUUUGCUUAGAAACUGGUACUUUUUUCUUUCCUCAUAAAUCUCAGUUAACUUAUCAUUCAGAUCUUUUAUUUUCAGAGCAAUGUCAUGGAGAAGGUGAUCUUUUAUUUUGCCAAGACAAAAGUAAGGGGAGAAACUAGAGAAACGUACCUUCUUCCUUGUAACAAGAGCAUUUGGAUCACCUUCUCUUUCUUGCUUCUCAACUUGUUGUUUGAGAAUGUUUGUGUUCCACUCAUCCAGCACAUCCACCAUCUGGUAGGAUAUAUCUUUCAGCUCAUCCAACCAGAUUUUGACAGCUUGAUCCGUCACUUGGCGUUGCUCUGCAUCCUCAAGCACAGCUUGAAUAACUCGGAGAGUCCGAGUGAAUUUCUCAACAUCUUCCUUAACGUUCAAAACACGUUUCACAUCUCCUUCCAUGUAUUCAUAGGUUGUCGAGGCCAACCGUUCUAGCAGCAGGGAAAUGAGCGCACCAGCCAUUAUUUUGAGCUUCAGAAAAUGGUUGACAGCAGUGUUUAUGAAGAAGAACUGAUUUGGGGAUAAUUGUUUGUGUUGCGGUGUUCCCUUUCUUCUGCCCAGUUUAUAUGCUGAGUAAGUCUUCAAGGCAAACUCCAAGUCAAUUUUUAAGAAAUAUCUAAUCUGGGGCUGGUGAGUGCGCCAGACUGUCUUUCUUGACCUUACCAUACAAGACAAGAUUAGUGCGCCAGCUGGCUUAAUAAGCAUUACCAAGAUGUAGUGCAUAAAUCGCCAGACUGUCAUUCACAUUCUAUAUUUUUUACCUGAACUCUACCUACUUGAAUAAAGAAAUGUAUCAAAGAUUGGUUGGACAAUUGAUUUAUUUGUCACACACACCUCGUGACAUAUACUUUGAGUGUAGUUUAGUCAGUUCGUGCAUGUUUUCAGUAAAGAUUAUGUAAAUGAUGUAAGUCAUAUAUUUAGAUAUUUAAAGUUAGCAACAAGAAAAUGACUUAUGUUCUCUAAGCAUAAGUCAUUGGGCAGGUAGUAUCAUUGUCAUGAGCUCUACAUCAAGUAGAUUGGUUGGAGGUAAUUUCUCACUUGGCAUAGCAAUAAGCAAAAGAUGGUGGAGUACAGAAUAAUGGUACAAGGAAUCUAUGAACUAUUGUGAUUGAUAAUGUAUAAAAUAAUGAUCGUAGAUGUUUAAGUGGAUAGACAUUUCAUUAAAAAAUGAAGACAAUUAAUAUUCCAUUUGUGAAGACUAAAGACCAAUUAGUCCAUAUUCUCUCCAAGACAAUUAAAAAAUAAGGUGUGUUACAACUCAUUGGUCAAGUUGAGGAUUGGAGGCAUGUGUUCACCAAUUUGAGCGUGAGUGUUAGUGUGAAUUCUAAAUAUAACCUAAUUUGUAGUCUCCUAUUUGGACUUUAUUAGGUUUAGUUACUUUACUUAAGGUCCACUUCUCGUAAAUCCUAUUUGUAACUAGGAGAAGAACACACAUUUGAGAGUUUUAUCGUAUUCGUUUCGACACCGAAAUUUUUUCUUAACGUAUGCACCUAAAUGAAACUCAUUCAGUUUAGCUCCAAAAGGAUUCCGUUGGAACCCAAGCAAGAUAAGGUGACAAUUUACACAGGCAUCAUGGAAAAUGUCAAACAAGAAUUAUCUAGGACUAGUUUCUUAGAUAAAAUUAAUCCCUACUAAUGAACAUGAGCUGAUUCUUACUAGAUUAUAUAAUAGUUAAGAGUUAGAAAGCCCCCUCCUCCCUCUCUAAGAAAAUUUGGCAAACCCUAUAACAGUUCCCUAGCCAUCCCGCCUAUUCCUCCAAAAUAAGGUGUAGCUGCUACUUGUUCCCCAAGAAACACCAUAAUCACAAUCACAUCACACACUCUCAUGAUGAUCAAUGGAGCAUAAAUAUAUUGCAGUUAAGUUUCUUUAGCCCAAAUUAAGUACCGCUUGUAACACUCAUUCACCCAAUGUUAGACAAGGUCCCAGCCCAAAUCUAUGCAAAUAUUCUACGUAUCUAAAGUCACCUGGGAUUUUUGGAGCAUGCCAUGCCUGACAAUCUUCUUUCUAGCAUCUCCAUUCAAUCCUGCCAAUUUGUGGUCUUGUGACUUCCCCCUCAUGGUAUUAUCCCUAGCCUAGAGAAAAGGUUCCAUUGACCCAUAAUUUCUACUACUAGUUCGUAAAAUUGAAUAGUGGCAUGCUCACCAACUAAAAGGGGUAGACAUCCUUUUCUAACAAUCCCAUGAAGGAUUAUAUAAAUCUUCAGAGAAAGGCAGAGAAAACUUGAGAAAUGAACUAAUUAUGUACUCGCUCAUCAAUUAUGCAUAUCGAUUAUCUGGAAGAAAAAAGCAGAAAUGCAAAAAACUUGACAAACUAACUGAUAGAAGACAAAAAGAUAAAAGCUGCCAUAAAGGAGAGGUGCCAUUUUAACGGACAAGAAUCCCAUCAAGUAUAGAUAUGUCCAAAGAGUUCAGGAAUCUUACAUGAUCAAGCAGAAGAACAUCCUCCUCUUCUUCAAGCCGAGCAAAAUCUAUAGCACGCUGACCAGUGACAAGUUCGAGAAGUGUGAUACCAUAUCCAAAAACAUCAGUCUUUUCUGACGAUUUUCCAGUGGACAAAUAUUCUGGGGCAAUAUGACCCAUGGUACCACGCACUUGAGUGGUAACGUGAGUUGAUUUUGUAUCAACCAGCUUUGCUAGCCCAAAAUCUCCAAGAACGGGCUCAAAAUUAUCAUCUAGAAGAAUGUUUGCAGCCUUUAAGUCACGGUGUAUAAUCUUAGGAUUACAAUGCUCAUGUAAAUACUCUAAGCCAUGGGCUGCACCAAAAGCGAUGCGUUUCCUUGUUGACCAGUCCAAGCCUUUCUCACCAGGUUUUAAAUCUAACACAUAUAUCAGGAAGAAAAUGUUAUGAAUUAAAAAUAUUGAACAGUAGAUAUAUGAGAAUCGUGAUAUGCCAUUCCAAAGAAUUAAGUGAUGAUUAACCUUCAAAUGAACAAGCAUAAAAUACAAAUGAUGUAAAUCCUAUCUCCCCCCUUAAGAAGUAGGGAGGGGGGUGUUCAGGAUGUCCUUACUUGAAUAUUGAGUUGGUUGAAGAAAAUAGAAAUUUGUAUUUGGGAAUUUGAAUCACAAAAUGGUGGUUAUAUAUCAAUACGUGCGAUGAAAGACCUCCUCCAUAAGUAUGGGCUGGAAGGUGAGGUUGACCGUACGAUACCUAAUGGGUGUAAGUAAAAUUACCAAGAAAAACAACAAAGGAAGUAGGGAUUAGGGAGCAUCUCAGAAAAAAUUUCAAGGAUGGUACCUCAUGUCAUAAUAUGUUGCAGAAUUCUAUUGCUAAAUUAAACCACGAAAACAGAAGUAAAAUUACAGGCUCUCAAAUGGAACAGAACAUGGCAACAGCAAUGAUUUUUUCUUCUUUCUUUUGGGACUGAACACUGAAUUAGGGCUUCUAAUCACUUACCAAGCACAAAAAGAAGUUCAAACCAUGGUUUUAAAACAUGCUUGUGUUCAGAGCCACUCAUACUGAAAAAUGCAGAGGGGAAAUAGAAAAGUAAACUCAAGCAAUGCUCUUUUAGGACAUACCUCUCAAGCGAUACGCAACACUAAGAUUUUUCAUGAAUGGAUAAACAAGGAUUCUCUCGGAUGAAGUUGUACAAAAUCCAAUCAACCGUAAAAGAUUCUUGUGAACUGCAACGCUAAUGAGUUGUACUUCUCUCAAGAAUGCAGCCUCUCCACCAGGACUGUUAUAAUCUGUAAGGCGUUUCACUGCAACCUUUACAUUGUCUGAGAGGACACCUUUGUAAACUCUUCCAAAGCCCCCUUGUCCAAUUAUGUUGCUUUCAUCGAAGUUAUCUGUAGCAAGCUGAAUUUCACGCCAAGAAAAUCUUCUUAACUGUCCAAAGGAAAUUUUGUUAGAGUUUUAGGAUCUGUGUAUGAGAUUUUGUGAGAAGAGAGAAGAGAAUUUAAGAAAACUUGAAGAAAUCCAAAACUGCUCUGCUAUACGUGUAGCAGAGAGAACAUUCUCAUUAGCUCAGAUUUUCAGUACUACAACACACUCUUAGUGUGAGGAGAAAUAACCGUUAUGCCCAGUACCAGCUGGAUGCAUUUUAUCAAAGCAAUCUCAGCCAUUCACUAUCUAACCAAUCAAGCUAUGACACCUGGACUAAGUAUAAAGAAAUACAAAUAAGCAGAAAACAAAACUCUUAAUCCUGAAAUCAACUCAAGCACUUAUAAUUUAACACUCCCCUUUAAGUCUUGAGGUGAUUUCACUCCAAGCAUGCCUCUGAGAUAAUUGAAUCUGUCUUUGGCCAGAGGUUUGGUAAAAAUGUCAGCCAAUUGUUCAUUUGUAGGACAAUAUUCCAGAUUGAUUACUCCUUCUUGCAAUGCAUCCUUGAUGAAGUGAUACCUCCUAUCAAUGUGCUUUGUCUUCUGGUGGAAUACAGGGUUUUUAGUGAUUGCAAUUGCUGAGAUAUUAUCACAAUGCAAUGGAGUAGCUUCAGUUUGAAGCACUCCAAAAUCCUCUAGCACAAAUCGAAGCCAAAUAGCUUGAGUAGUAGCCUCAGCUGCACUGAUGUACACAGCUUCAGCAGUAGACAGUGCAACACAGUUCUGUUUCACUAAGGCCCAAGAAAAUACUCCACUUCCAAAACUAAAAGCAUACCCUGAUGUGCUCUUGCAAUCACCGACUGAUCCUCCCCAAUCACUGUCACAGUAGCCAAUUAGAAUUGAUCUUUUGCCUUUCACAUAUUCAAGACCAUAGUCCAGAGUUCCUUUGAUGUAUCUCAAAACUCUUUUAGCUAUUCCAUAGUGUCUAUUUGUAGGACAGUGCAUGAAUCUAGCUAGCAAACUUGAGGCAUACAUAAUGUCUGGUCUUGUAGCAGUUAAGUACAGCAAGCUACCAACAAUGCUUCUGUAUUGUUCUUCAUUUGCAGCUCCACUCCCAUCAUCCUUAGCUAGUUUCUCAGUGGCAACAAGGGGUGUUGUCACAGAUUUGCACUCAGUCAAACCAAACUUGCUCAACAAGGUGCUAGCAUAUUUCUUUUGAUGUAGAAAUAUACUAGACUCAGUCUGAAUAACUCCCAUGCCAAGAAAGUGAUGAAGUAAGCCCAAAUCAGUCAUCUCAUACUUAGCCAUCAUGUCUUCUUUGAAUUCAGCCAACAAUGCUUGACUGCUCCCUGUGUACACAAUAUCGUCUACAUAGGUAGACACAAUUAGAAUCUCCUUAUCUCCCCUUACUUUGGUAUACAAGGUUGCUUCACUUAAGCUUUUCACAAAACCACAUUGAGUGAAGUAGCUGUCUAUCUCUCCAUACCAAGCCCUUGGGGCUUGCUUCAGACCAUAAAGAGCUUUAUGUAGACGAUAAACCUUGUCUUCUUUACCUUUAAUUACAAAACCUUCAGGCUGAUUGACAUAAACUUCCUCUUGCAGCACACCAUUAAGGAAAGCAGACUUCACAUCAAGCUGGAACAAUUUCCAAUCCUUUUGAGCAGCUAGAGCAAUAAGUGUUCUAAUGGUGUCCAAUCUGGCUAUAGGUGCAUAAGUCUCAUUAUAAUCCAGUCCGGGCUUCUGAGCAUACCCCUUAGCCACUAAUCUUGCUUUAUUCUUUUGCACAGAGCCAUCCAAAUUCAGCUUUGUCUUGUACACCCACUUAACUCCAAUCACUGGUUUUUUAGUUGGUCUAUCUACCAAUUCCCAUGUUUCAUUCUUUUCAAUCAUCUGCAAUUCAUCUUCCAUAGCCUUAAGCCAAGAUUCAUCCUGAGCAGCAUCAGCAUAUUUUUCUGGUUCCAUGAUACACAAGUUACACUGAGCUAGAACAUCAUCUAGCCUUCUCCAUUUUAGAGGGGUGUGAUCAUAAGCUUGAGUUCUCCUUUCUUCACUGCUUAUAUCACCUGGAGUUGAUGAAGUGCUCUCUUGCAUAUCCAAAGUUUGAGGUGUACCAGUAGAAUUCUCAUUAGAACUGUCAGAUUUCAAGUCCAAGUCUACUUGGUUUUCAAUUGAGUAUGUUGUCAUAACUGAACCAUUUUUGUCUGUCCAAUGCCAAGCAUUUUCUUCAUCAAAUGUCACAUCCCUUGACAGUAAAAGCUUGUUAGAAACAGGAUCAAAAACUCUAUAUCCUUUUUCACAAGUUGCAUAUCCCACAAACACUCCCUUUGUGCUCUUAGGAUCCAGCUUGUGUCUCAAUUCAGUUGGCACAUGAACAUAACACAGAGAACCAAACACUUUCAGAUGUGCAAUUCCAGGCUUCCUUCCACUAUAUGCUUCGAAUGGAGUAAUGUUGUUGAGAGCUUUGGUAGGACAUCUGUUCAGCAAAUAGACAGUUGUAUGCACAGCUUCUGCCCAUAGGAAAUAUGGCAUUCCCUUCUCAUGUAACAUUGAUUUUGCCAUCUCAAUGACAGUUCUAUUCUUCCUCUCAACUACUCCCACUACUACAUUUUACUCUUUGCGCGACGAAGAACAAAACGUCGCGCAAAGUCUCAUUUAGUCGCACCAAUUUCAGCGUGACAAAACAGUCGUCGCGCAUAUUCCGUCGCGCGAAGAUCGUGAAGAAAGCCUUUGCGCGACGAGGUACAACCCUUCGUCGCGCAAAACUGUGCGACGGGUAAACCAUCGUUGCACCAACGGUGCGGAGACGAAACAACUGUUCGUCGCAAAAGUAUUUGCGCGACGAUCAAGUAUGCGGCCCACGUAUAUUUGCGCGACAACAGGAAUGGCGCGACGAAACAUAAUUCGUCGCGCAAAACAUGUUCGGGAGACGUAUAUGUUCGUCGCAGAACAAUUCGCGCGAUGAGAAAGUUUUCGUCGCUCAUAUAUUUGCACGACGAAACAUUUCGUCGCGCACGAAUUAAAAGUGAUAAAAAAAAUUUGAUUUUUUAUUUUUUUUGUUACAUGUUGGUUUGCGCGACGAAAUGUUUUCCGUCGCGCAAAAAGAAUAUUACAAAUUUUUUUUUAUAUUUUUUAUUUUAAAUAAAAUUGGUUUCUUUUUAUUGAUUAAACAAUGAAAUUGCAAUAAAAAUAAAUUAGAAUAAAAUUUUGUUAUAAAAUAAAAUAAAUGUAUUACAAAUAAAAUAAAUGUCUAUGAUGAAAAUAAAUACACUAAUCAAAUAAUGAAGAAAAAUCAACCGGGUCGUCGCCAGUAUGUGGCUCGGAGGUCUGGGCGUCCACCGGGGCAGUGGUCUGGGCGUCCACCGGGGCAGUGGUCUGGUGGGCAUGCUCGGGGUGGACGGGCUCGGAGGUCGACGCACGAAACUGCAGGAUCGGAAAGCCACUCUCUGCGAGGGACUGUAGAAUCACCGACAUCUGACCCUGAAGCUCGGCCACCUGUGCUGUCAAAGCAGUCACCUGACUGUUUGACUGCGCCGAUGAACGAGGUCUAGGUUCCCUCCGCCGGGCAUUCCCCAUCCCUCGACAAUAUGUCCCCGGCCUCCUCCCGAGAGGCUGAUCCAACGUCUCCGUCAAGAUCUGAAAUCCAGCAUCCUGUGGAGGAGCCACAGACUCGAUCGGAGUCUCGGGAGGAAGCUGGGAGGCGGACUCCUGAAGAACCAACUGGCUCCUCUCCACCAUCGUCGUCUGUUGAACAUAACAUAAAAUAUAAAUUAAAACAUGCAUAUAAAUUGAAUGCGUAACAUAAGAAUUAAAAUUAAAUAAUACUUACAUGAAGGGACUCGGCCAACUCAUUCCCGGGUCGAACAUAAACGUCACCAAAGACGUCGAUCUCUGGGAACUUGGACCCCUCCUAAAUUGAACAAGAGAAGAAAAAUAUUAGUAUGAAAAAAAUAAAUUAAUAAAAAUGACAUUAAAAAUGAAAUAUAAAUUAUGUGAUUAUUACCCGUCGCCGUGCAUCCAUCCUAUACGAAAAGGGCCUGGAGCCGGAAUGGUGGAGAAGGGUCUUCUUCUUCCUAUUACCCUUAUUCACUUGGGUUUUAUUCUGUUAUACAAAAAAUGAAACGUAUUAGUUAAAAUAUAACAAAUUAAAUAAUAAUGAAAUAAAAAAAAUGAAAUAAACAUUAAUAAGAAAUAAGUAAUAAUUAAACAAAUAUGAUUAAAAAAUACCAUAUAUUCGGGCGCUUGAAAAUGAGCGCAGAGCCACUCCCAACUAUCCUCCCGCCCCUCAAGCUCCUUCGGGCAACCCUCUUGAAGAGCGACUUGCGGAUCAUCAAAGGCCUGAAAAUGAUGGUGCAAGUCGCUCUUCCACUGCUUGUACCUCUCAGCGAAGAGUCUGUUGACGUACGCCAACGACUCUUCGUCGAGAUCCUCCAAGUUAUAGUUCGUCUGCAAUCAAUUAAUUAGAUACGUUAAGUAAUAGAAAUAUACACAUUUUAAAGAAAAAUAAUGAAAAUGUAAGGUACAUACCGACAACUGGCCGCGAACCUCUACCUUUAUCUCUUCAGGAAUGACCCUCCAAGACUUCCAUUGCAUCGGGCAAUGGGUCCGCACGACGUGGCCAAUGUUGUGGGCCAAGGAGCUAUGCAACUCCGCCGUGGGUACAGCCCGAUGGCGCUCAUCGUAUCCGAUGCUGAUACGACUGUUGGUCACCCGGGUGACCUUCGCCAUCUUCAGCUGACGACACGGCCCUCGGGUGUUCUUCUUCGCUGCAAAGAAAUAAGAUAUUAAUGUUAAAUAAACAACAUUGUCAAAUUUCAAUAUAAAAUUAACAAUAAAAAAUGGUAGUUAUACCUGGCUGUGAUCCCGAGGCACCAGUACCGUCGGUCGAUGUCGUCUCGGUGAUGUCGGCAGGCCGGUGCCGCCGCAUAGUACUAGCUGGCUGCGCGACGGAUGAUGCAGAUAACGUUGGAGCCUGGGAUGCCCCGGGACCUACCAGCACGUGCUCCAUCAAAGCUGGAGCUAUGGCAGCAGAUACCGACUGAGCCGGGGGAUCCGAACUAUGUGCAGUCGUCAUCGACCUACCACGUCUAAUCAAGUUUGACAUCUGCACAUAUAAUUUCAUUCAGAAUUUAAACUAAUUAAUUAAAAGCAUAGCAUGACCUAGGGUUUGGAAUUUCGGAGUAUCCGGGACUCCGAUCAACAAUCGGUCGAAUCCUAAACGAUCCUAGAAACACAAAGGUACAACUACGUGAGUUUGAGUUCGAUCCAACGGUCCGAACAUAUCAAACCUGGAAAUCGCAGAAUAGGCGAAAACCGAUCAAUACUCAAACGGUAACCAAAUUCAAAUCCGAGCAAACCUACGCGCUCGUGACAAAUAGGGGAUUGCUCUGGGACACAAUGCCCCACUGCCACAGCAUCCCACGCGCCACCACACGCGCCGGCAGCGCGUGGGUGUCCAAAGCGAUAACAUUCGCCGGAAAAUUCUAAAAACUAACCGCCAAGGUUCCUACCCUAGGUUGAAAACAUUAAUUGGAGCCACUUUUGUUCUCGGACCUACCCCGAAAAAUGGCCGGAAGUGGCCGAAUUUGAAAUUCCCAAACCGGCCAAAACCUAGGGUUUUAAUUCCUAUUUCCUAUAGCGAAAAUUCAACAAAUCCUAACCAACCAUCAGCUAGAGCACAAAAAAUAGUCCAGAAAUCAUACCUCAGGCGUCGGAAAUGGUGGCCGGAGGAGAGAGAAAUCGGCCAGCGAAGAAUCGGGAAAAAAGCGGCAGGCUCGACGGCGGGCUCGACGGCGAAGGCAGGGGAGGCUACGGCAGGAGCGGCGGUGGCUGAGGUGACGGCGGAGAGAGACGGCUGAGGUGACGGCAGAGAGAGAGGGAAACGGAGGAAAAAACCAGAAAUGGGGAAGGAGGAGGCAUCAGGCCGUUUCUGCAAAUUUUUACGACUUUGCGCGACGAAGAACAACAUCCGUCGCGCAAAAUGCAAUAAAUGAAUCUUGCGCGACGAAAUAUCCGUUGCGCAAGGUCUCCCAGAACGACAAAUUUUGAAUGGGGAUUUGGGUCUGUGACUUUUGCGCGACGAAAAAGACAUGGUUCGUCGCGCAAAAGGCUGUCGUUCCGCCAAAUUUUUGGGAUUUAGGGUUUAGCGGGAGGCUGAAACUGAAGGGUUUGUGGCUUUUGCGCGACGAAGAGAGUUAACAUCGCGCAAUAGGCACAUUGCGCGACGGAAGAUAAUGUAUUCGUAGUGCAAAACGCUGUCGUUCCGCCAAAUUUUUGGGAUUUAGGGUUUAGCGGGAGGCUGAAACUGAAGGGUUUGUGGCUUUUGCGCGACGAAGAGAGUUAACGUCGCGCAAUGGGCACCUUGCGCGACGGAAGAUAAUUUAUUCGUCGCGCAAAACGCUGUCGUUCCGCCAAAUUUUUGGGAUUUAGGGUUUAGCGGGAAAUGAAGGGUCUGUGGAUUUUGCGCGACGAAGAGAGUAAACGUCGCGCAAUGGGAACCAUGGUUCGUCGCAAUCUAUUUCACUUUCACUUUGCGCGACGCAUUCCUUGUUUCGUCGCGCGAGUUCAAGAUUGUGAUUGAAAUUUUCACUAAGUGUUCAAAGGGGAUGGAGGUGUGAAAACGGUCACCCAGAUUGCGCGACGAACCUGGGACUUUUCCGUCGCGCAAUCUAUCACUUUGCGCGACGCAUGACUUGUUACGUCGCGCGACUUCAAGAUUAUGAUUGAAAUUUUCACUAAGUGUUCAAAGGGGAUGGAGGUGUGAAAACUGUGACCCAGAUUGCGCGACGAACAUACUAUGUUUCCGUCGCGCAAUCUAUUUCAAUUUCACUUUAAGCGACGGUUAUAAAUAUUCGUCGCGCAAAACCUAGACCCUAAACCCUUGUAAACCCUAAGCCCUAAACCCUAAACCCUAAAAUAGUUUCAAUGAUCCAACCGGCAAACUUAUUUUUUGAUACUUGGAGAUCAUAUACGCCAAAAAUCAAAAAGACCAAACAUUCAGAUAUCAGGGAACGGGACUAAAUAUUUCGACGGUUAUAAAUGAAAAGUCAUGAUUUAACGGUUAUUUUAACUCCGAUUUUGAUCAUUUUUUACAGAAACAUUUGUUGACCCUAUAUGAAUACAAUGACUGAAUUUGAUCUUCAAUUUCAUAUUUUUACACUAGGGGAUACCACAUAAACGUUUAAGUUACAUUUUCACAAAUGUAUGAACAAAUUUUAGGGUUUUUGGUGAAUAUAUGAUUUUGAUAGCACACGCAUUCUACGAAACAAGUUUCAGUCAUCCAGCCGUCAAACUUGUUUUUUUUGACUUCGAGAUCAUAGACAGCAAAAAUCGGACAAAAAAAACAUUCAGAGAUUAAGUAACGGGGUAAAACUUUUUGACGGUUGUAAAUAAAAAGUGAUGAUUGAACGGUUAUUUUAACUCCGAUGUUGAUGAUUUUUUGCAGCUACAGUCCUACACUCCAUAUGAAUACAAUGAACUACUACGAUCGCCAAUUUUAAAUAUAUAUGUGUGUAUAUAUUAUACUAUAACGUUACCUAAUAUAUAUUUGCGCGACGAUAAGGAACCCUUCGUCGCGCAAGGAUUUGGCGCCAUAAAUCAUCAUUUAAUUCAAAUUGUGUAUGCUUUGUAUUUUUUGGAAAGGUUUUGUAUUCAUCAAUUUUUAUGCUUUGUAUUUUUUGGAAAGGCUUUGUAUCUCUCAAUCAAGCUUUUGAGUUAAUUCAGCCAUGGCUUCUCUUCAUGACACUCCAACAUCUUCCGCUCACAUACCCCACUUCUUCAAGAUCAUUCUAGAUGACACUUCUAAAAACAUCAGAAUUGUAAGCAUCUCUCUCUCUCUCUCUCUCUUUCUCUCUCUCUCUCUCUAUGCUAAGAAUGUUUUCUGAUUAUUGAAAUAUUCAUUUCUUUUGUUAUUUUUAUUGAAGCUUUAACUUGUUCUGUUCUGCAGAAAAUUCCAAUGAAGUUUGUGAUGAAAUAUGGAGAAUGAAUACACAACUACAUAUGGACAACUACAUAUAUUCAAAGAUUUGUAUUACACAAAAUGAAUACACUAACAUAAUAAAUUUACAAAUAAAUUCAUUAUUCAUCAUCUGAACUAUAAUAACUUUCGUUAUCGUCGCUAUCAUCACUCUCGGUCUCCCAAUCUUCUUCUCCCUCCUCCUCCUCUAUAACUGCAUCAUCGGCGUUGCUAGGGCCCACUGCAACAUCGUAUCGGUGAAGAUCACCGAGGUCAAUUGUAAUUGACUGAAUCGGUAUUUCGACUGAAGACACUCCUUCUAUUUGAAACGGUUAUUGUAUAACAUUUGUAUCUCGAAGUGUUUCCGCAUCAUUUUCCAUUGAAGAUUCUAAACGUUGGUCAGCCACAUUGUCGACGUCGUUGUCACUUGGGUCUAGUUCUGGUAUAUCAUACACGUUCCUAUGAUCCAUCUUCUGCACAACUUUCCACCUGUUCCCGGCUUUAGGGUCAUCUAGAUACACAAUUUGGGACGCCAUGUUUGCCAAAAUGUACGGGUCGUCAUCAUACCAAGUUCUGUUAAUGUUCACAGACAGUACUCCAUGGUCGAUUUUAACACUUCCCGCCCUAUUUGGGUUGGUAUCGAACCAUCGACACUUAAACAUGAUGACUUGGUAUCGAUCUUUGUAAAGCAAUUGCACGACAGUUGUCAGUUUGCCAUAGAAAUCAAUGUCCGUACUUUCGCCUCCACCUGGGACAUGGACACCGCUGUUUUGCGUACACAACUUGUCAUCUCGUGCGGCCCCCAAAAAUUUGACGCCGUUAACAUUACAACCCGAGAACAAUUCAGCGCGAAUUGGGCCGAACGCCAAGUUAUAUAACUCAUCACUGUAAGUAGGGGAAUUCGAUGAUUUCAAUUUAUUCACCUAAUAGUAUACAAAACCAAUUACAUGUUAGUCUGAUAAAAUUAAAUACUACAAUUUAUAUUUGUCAAAUACAAAACACACAGAUUCCAAAAACCAUUGUGGAAAUAAUUCACGUUGUUUCUGGGCAACUAAAUGUGAUGGAUGUUCUCGCUUCAUCAUCUCUUCAUGCUCAUCUAAGUAUGCCAUUAUCUCAUCACAAUUGUUCAGUACGAACCAAUACGCUACUUCCAUGUCAUUUCUAGAAAACGACUCCCCUCGUCCAGGAUCUCCAAAGGGCCGUGCGCUUUGGGCAAAAACAGAAAGUUUUUCCUUUCUUAUACCUCCGUCGUUAUUACGCUGAGGACGAUUGAAAGCCGUCUCCACAUCUUUUAAAUACAUUCCACAGAAAGUAAGCGACUCAUAUUGAACCCAAGCCUCUAUAAUUGAUCCUUCGGGCUUCGCCCUGUUGCGUACACUUUUUUUCAGCUCUCCGAGAAGCCUGUCAAAAUAAAAAGAUAUGAUACAAAUUAGCAAGCCUGUGAUAAUGAUGCAUACACAAACGAAAAUGAUUAUAUACCUUUCUAUUGGAUACAUCCAGCGAUAGUUGACAGGACCAGCAAGCAAUGCCUCUUCUGGCAAGUGAACCAUCACGUGCAUCAUACUUGUGAAGAAAGCUGAAGGAAAUAUCAUCUCAAACUUGCAUAGGACUUGGACAAUGUCAUGGCGCAACUGAAACAUGUCCGUCUUUCGCAAUGUUUUUGCCGUCAGUUGGGAAAAAAAUCUGGAUAACAAGAUAAUUGGCUUCACCACAUCUUCCGGCAGUAGGUGUCGAAUACCCACAGGAAGUAAGCGUUGCAUAAACACAUGGCAGUCAUGGCUCUUAAGUCCAGUAAAUUUACCCCCAUCGACAUUCACGCAACGUGCGAUAUUAGAAGCAUACCCAUCGGGAAAUUUGACAGACGAUACAAACUUUAGAAACUCUUUUUUGUCAUUCGGUUUCAUAGAGAAGAAUGCAAGAUCCCUUCUAGCUUUAUCACUGUCCCUAUUCAUCCAUAAACCCCUUCGUAUGCCCAUUCUUUCCAAAUCAAGACGAGCUUUGAUCGUGUCCUUCGUCUUCCCCUCGAUAUCUAGAAUCGUGCCCACCAAUGUGUCGAAUACAUUUUUCUCAACAUGCAUCACAUCUAGAUUGUGCCUCAAUUUCAGUUUCGACCAAUAUGGGAGCUCAAAAAACAUAGGCUUGUGCGUCCAGUUCAAAUGUGUAGAAGGUCUGGUCCGACUAACUGUUUUCCCGAACGGAGCAAAAUCCAAACGGUUCAGCUGUUCCAAGAUCUCAUCACCGGACCAUUCUCUAGGUCUGAGGCGACGCUCUGUGUUCCCGUCGAACUCUUUAUCUUUUUCUCACCACUCGUGGUCCCAUGGCAACCAUCUCCGAUGACCAAGGUAACAAACUUUUCCCGCGUGCCAACCAGAAGUUACAUCUUCCUUGCAUACAGGACAUGCCAUAUAACCCUUUGUGCUCCACCCAGAAACCAUUGCAUAUGCUGGAAAAUCAUUCACAGUCCACAUAACUGCUGCUCGCAAAGUGAACAUCCUCCCAGUUGAUUUAUCGUACGUGCGAACACCGUUUUUCCAUAAAUCCUUCAGCUCAUCAACCAGAGGCCUUAAGUACACAUCAAUUGACCUGCCAGGAUCCUCAGUUAUCAAAACAGUCAUCAUCAUGUAUUCUUUUUUCAUGCAUUUCCAAGGCGGCAAAUUAUAUGGGAAUGCGAAAAUCGGCCAAGUGCUGUGGUGUUGGUUUAGAACCCCAUACGGAUUGAAUCCGUCAGUGGCAAGUCCCAAUCUUACAUUUCGGGGAUCAGCAGCAAACUCGGGGAACGUUCGAUCGAACUCUUUCCAUGCCUCCCCAUCUGCAGGAUGCCGCAUCACAUCAUCGUCUACCCGUUUUUCCUUAUGCCAUCUCAUGUCUGUGGCAGUAUGCGUCGACAUAUACAAUCGCUGCAACCUAGGUUUAAGGGGCAGAUAACGCAUGACUUUUUGUGGUAUCUUAGUCGUUCUAUUCUGGGAUGUCAUUUUGAACCUCGACUCAUUGCAUAUAGGGCAUGUAUCCAACGUUUCAUGCUCUUUGUAGAAUAACAUGCAAUUGUUUUUGCAAGCGUGGAUUUUUUCAUAACCCAAUCCAAGACCGUGCAACACCUUCUGUGCAUGUUUAUGGUCUUUCGGCAAACAAUUGUCCGUUGGAAGCAUUCUCUUGAAAACCCCCAAAAAGUAAUCGAAACACAAGUUCGACAUACGAUACUUUAUUUUUCCAUGCAUUAGCUCCACAAUGGCAGUGAGAACGGAAAAGCUCUCGCACCCCGGGUAUAACUCUUGGUUGGCAUUUUUUAACAGUUUUUCAUACUGUUCAAACUCCGCACUGUCUAUUGGUGUAGGCACGUCAUCUUCCCCUUCCUGAUUGAUGUUGGUCGAUGCGAAUGGAAAAGCAUCCUGUAUAAUACCCAUGACUUGAUCAUUAGGAUCCACAAUAGGUUCAACAUUGUCCACUCUUGGGGCAUUUGAAGACGAAGCAUGGUCUACUUGUUCGCCGUGAAGGUUCCAAAUGCUAUAUGUUUCAAUCAUUCAAUUCCUUACUAAAUGAAAUCCAACAUUUUCAAUUGUCUCCCACAACGUGUUGUUACACCUCCCACAAGGACAACGGAUUCUAGUUGCACCCGGGUUGUGUCUACGUGCAAACUCAAUAAAAUCCUCGAUUCCAUCCAAGUAUUCGUCUGCGCAUCUAUUCGAGUUCUGUAUCCACCUUCUGCUCAUAAUUCCUGAAACCACAAUCACGACACAACAAUCACAACAACUUCAUACGAAGUUAUAAUGUCACCUUAUGCCUCCGGUAAGGGCCCUAUCCCAUUCGGGAAUGCAUAGUCCUGUCACGUAACCUACUGCUACAUGAGAUUAGAUUUCGACGUGGAUUAAUUUCGGCAGCAUCUCGACACAGUUCUUGAAGUGGGCAUAGGUAUAAAUACCUACGUACCACCCGAAGAACGUACCGAGAUGACACCGAAAUCUCCACAAUCGAAACCUAAUCCUGUAGCCAAAGAUUAUGUGACAACACUAUGCAUUACCAAACUGUCCAAAUAAUGGGACAAUUCAAGAAUUAAUUGGACCGCAGUCAUGCAUUACGCAUCCAUGCACGAAAUCCAACUAAUCUCGAACGGGAAACUACGUGUUACUAAACAUAAAAAUAAAAGUACGAAGUUAAUUUCAAUUAACUUCGUACAUCACAACACAUUGUGCUAUGUCACGCACAAUUUCACAACAUUAUACACAUAUAACUUCACAAAAAAAUUACAAACAUAACAAACAAACUUUUACAAUAACAUACCUUCUCAAUCGUUCUCCACCAAUCACCAAUCACAAAUAUCCCUAACGAUAACAAAAUUAAUAGCGUUACUACGAAUUUACAUUAAUACAUUUAAACUAACGACAAAAAAUACAUACCCAAUGAACGUACUGAAUUCACAGCAGAGCAACGGUAGGGAGAGUGAGAGAGAGGCAGAAUGCAAUGGGAGAGUGAGAGAGAGGCAGAAUGCAGAAACUGCAUUCUGCCUCUGCAAUGGCAGAUACUAAUAUGAAGAAGAAGGACUUUGCACGACGAACAACCCAAUCCGUCGCGCAAAAUGCCGUCGCGAAAACCCACUUUUCCGUCGCACAAAACAACAUUUCCGUCGAGCAAUUACCUGUCGACAUCUGCUUUUUUGCGCGACGAAUAACAUUAUCCGUCGCACAAAAGUUCGUGGCGCAAGGUUUAUAUUACGUCGCGCAAAUUAUUUAUUUCGUCGCGCAAGAAAGCACCGGCAUUACACUUUACGCGACGAAGGUAAUUCCGUCGCGCAAAAAAAGUUUUAUCCACCCUGCAUUUUGCCGCCAAAAAUAAGUAUCCCUCGUUUUCUUACGCGACGGUACGUGUUUCCGUCGCGCUAAGUUGUCUUUUGCGACGAAAACGUUCGUCGCGCAAAGUUUUUUACCGCAAAAAAAAUUAGACAAUUUUCUGUCCAUCUUUACGCGACAAAAUCUUUGGAUUGUCGCGCAAUAUUGUCAUGCGCGACGAUUGUUGUCGUCGCGCAAGAUUCUGGCGCAAAAAAAAAAACCGGGGUUUUUUCCCCGACCUUUGCGCAACGAAAUUAGUUUUGGUCGCGCAUAGAUUGUUUGCGCGACGAAGAAAUUUCGUCGCGCUAGUGUUCUGUUGUUUGCGCUACGGUAUUUUUUUUUCGUCGCAAUAGUGAUUUUUGCGCGACGAAAACAUGUUCGUCGCGCAAACUUCCGUCGCAUAAAUAGUAAAUCGUAGUAGUCUCCAUUCUGCUGAGGGGUAUAGGCCAUUGUAAGCUGCCUUUGAAUGCCAUUAGCUUCACAGAACUCCAAAAAAUCAGUAGACAGAAACUCUCCACCCCUGUCACUUCUUAUGCACUGCACCUUGUGUCCAGUUUGUAAUUCAGUCAUGGACUUGAACUUCUUGAAACAAUAGAAGGCUUCUGACUUGUUUCUCAAGAAGUAUACCCAAAUCAUUCUUGUGAAAUCAUCUAUAAUCAGCAUAAAAUAUCUGUUCCUUGCAACAGACUCAUUUCUCAUGGGACCACAGAGAUCCACAUGUACUAGCUCUAGUACUUUGCUUGCUCUUUGAGCUUGAUCUUUUAGAAAAACAUUUCUGUGCUGUUUUCCAAAUUGGCACCCUUCACACACACCACUUUGUUCUUCCAAUUUUGGUAAACCAUGUACCAUUUCUUUAUCCCUUAGCUGCUUCAAUCCUCCAAAAUUCAGAGGACCAAGUCUCUUGUGCCAAAUCCAUGUGGAUUGAAGAAAACUAGUCUUCAUUAGUAACUGUUUUUCAACCAGAAAAGAGACAGGAUAGCAUCUGUUACUCUUCAUUUGCACCUUUAUGAUGAGAUAAUCCAUGGAUGGGCUAUCAAAUACCCUGCACAUCCCUUCUCCAAACACCAGACAGUACCCAUGUUCAUCCAUCUGCCCAACACUUAGCAGAUUUUCUUUCAAUCCUGGCAGAUACAUUACUUCUCUGAUGUAUUUCCUGCCCUUUGCUGUAUCAAUACUCAGUGAGCCAAUACCAGCUACACUCACUAGUGGACUAAUUGGCAUUUGUACUCUCCCAGCUACAUUAGUUCUCACAUCAACCAGCAAUUCUAAAUUUCCUGUCAUAUGAUUGCUGCAGCCACUAUCAAUAUACCAUUCAUUGGUUUUGAUCUCAGUGGUUGAGCAAUUGGCAUAAAACAGGUUUCCUGUAACCUCCAUUUGACUUACACAAUUAGCCUUCUGCACAUUUUUGCUCACUGUACAGUCUCUAGCAAGAUGUCCAAAUCUGUCACAGCUAUAGCAUUUUGGUUUUCCCUUAUACCUGCACUCACCAAAGUGAUGCUUUGAACACACCUUGCAUUGAGGCUUUGUGUUUUCCUGAUUUGAGAACUGUGUUGAAGUGUGGUUCUGUGCAGAAUAAUUAUUCUGCUGUGACUUGUCUUUUGCCUCCCAUGACUUCCCUUUAGAGUUCCAGCUUCUCUGUGACUUAGAUGAACCAGACUGAGAAGUAUUUUUGUUCUGACCCUUUGAAUUCACAGUGAAUGAGGCAAAUGCCUUCUCAGCUGUAUCAACACUAUGCAUUUCAAGCCUUUGCUCCUGACUCUUCAAAAUAGCAGUUACUUCCUGCAAAUCCACAGUUUCUAGUGUCUUUGUGUUUUCAAUCAUAAUGCAUAUAGGGUCAUACUUCUUACUUAGACUAAUUAACACCUUUUGAACCUGCCUCUCAUUUGACAGAACUUCACCAAAUGUUUUCAUUUGGUUAAUCAAUUCAGUUAGUCUAGUAAGAUAUUCAGAUAAGGUUUCACUAUCACGCAUCCUAGUGUAUUCAAAUUCACGUCUAAGGUUUUGAAGCUUUACCGAUCUAACAUGCUCUCCACCAUGAUAUUCUGAGUACAGCAGAUUCCAAGCCAUCUUUGCAGAGUCAGCAUUUGCAAUUCUGGAAAAAAUCUGAUCAGAAACAGCAUUUUGAAUGAUACCAAAGGCCUUCGCAUCCUUCAUGAGAAUCGCAGCUGUUUUCUCAUCAACUUCUUCUUCUGAACCAUCCUCAGAUUCCUUCUUCGUCUUUGAAUCUAGGAUUAAAAACCCCUUUUCUACCAAACCCCAUAAACCAUAUGAUCUGAAUAUGGUUACCAUCUUAAUCCUCCAAAAUUCAUAGUUCUCACCUGAGAAAAUGGGGAUUCUAGCCUCUGAACUUCCAAAUCCAGCCAUUACGAAUUUCAGAUUCACCUGGAAACAAGAUGUCUUCAGAUUCGACCCUUGAUCGAGCUCAAUCAGCUUCGUGAGCUUAGAAUGAGCUCACCUCGAUCGAUUUUCUUCACAGAACAACGCCCAGCUUUAGAUAAUCCAACCUGGCUCUGAGGCCAUGUUAGAGUUUUAGGAUCUGUGUAUGAGAUUUUGUGAGAAGAGAGAAGAGAAUUUAAGAAAACUUGAAGAAAUCCAAAACUGCUCUGCUAUACGUGUAGCAGAGAGAACAUUCUCAUUAGCUCAGAUUUUCAGUACUACAACACACUCUUAGUGUGAGGAGAAAUAACCGUUAUGCACAGUACCAGCUGGAUGCAUUUUAUCAAAGCAAUCUCAGCCAUUCACUAUCUAACCAAUCAAGCUAUGACACCUGGACUAAGUAUAAAGAAAUACAAAUAAGCAGAAAACAAAACUCUUAAUCCUGAAAUCAACUUAAGCACUUAUAAUUCAACAAAUUUUGCACUCAUCUUCACCUAAAAUUACAUUAAAAUAAGAAAAGGGGGUGGAGUAGAUGUUAGUUUGACAAGAUUGUGUAGCUCGUGAUGCGACUUUAGGCAUUUGGACUUUUGAAUACAGAUUAAACGAAUACAUAAAUCAAACUUGGUAAGUGAUUAUUUACACAUCUGACUUACAAAGGGUGGGGAUCGAUUCUAACUUAACUAGGUUGAGGUGAUUUCAAAUUUAAAUUUUCAUAACGAUGCUUAGUACAAACUGAAAGUGAUUUCAAAAGUAAAAGGUAAGGAAAGUUUACCUGUAACAUCAACAAAGACAUCAUGUGUUAGUUUGUGCAUGCGAUAAUAUCGAUAAGCAAAAAGAGCCCCAAUCAAAAGAAUUACUGUUACACCACAACUUGCCGAAGUUAUAACCGUUCCAAGUUUUGAUUUCUUGGUUGAAACUGCCAAAUUUUAAAAUCUUAGGUUAUUCCUAGGUAAUUCAAACAUAGUUGGUAAACUGAAAUAGUAGAGUUGUACAAAGAAUAAACCUCGGAGAACAGAGCCAGAAGCACAAGGCUGCUUCAAGCUAGAACCACAAGCAAGACGUGCUCCUGUAAAACUGUAAGGAUAAAACAAUUAAUAGCAAACCAUUAAGGAUAUAUAAUAUAACUACUGGACAAGUAUACAGUAAGUUGCAAAUUAUAGAAUGUAGACGCAAUGCUGAAGGAAAAUAUUAUAAUAACGGAAAGGUCAUCUAGAACCAAAUUACACAACAUUGGAACCAAAGACGCCAUUUUUUAUUAUAAUAAGUAGGAAUUUAAGCAUUUGAAAAAUAAUAUAUAUACAUCCAAAAUGACACUCGUGCUUGAUGAAACUAUUAUAAGUGGCAGUCCAGAAGUCAGAUCCUAUACCUCGAACUUACUGUAAUAGAAGAAGAACUAAACUCGUCUCUUAAUGACCAUAGCACCAUUUCAUGAUAAAGACAUUAUCAUACAUCUUUAGUGCUGGAACUCUCUCAAACCUCUUAGUCAGCCCAGUCCUACACCAACAGUAGGGGUGGGCGAAACCAGACUGAACCAGACCGAACCGGCUAGUUUGGUUAGGAUUUUGACAAAAAUUAAGGUCAUACGGUUCAAAAUCCAACUCAGUUCAGCUGGUGGUUUCAAUUCCCUCAGGAACGAGAGAACAUAACCGAAUAAUUUCUCACUCUUUUUAUUAAUUCCACCCGUAUCCCUCCUAGAUAAUCAUCUUUUUCCCCUAGCUCUAGCCACAUAAACCUAUCUCUCCAGUGAAGGAAUUAAACAAAGACAUCCUUCGCAUAACUCCUUUAGCAUGCAGACAAACACAAAACAAGGAUGUAUUUAAAAAUAAUAUAAAUUAUAUGAGUAUGAUAUAUAUAUAUAUAUAUAUCCAAUUUUCUAUAACAGGGUUAACCGUACUUACGGAUAACCAAGGUCGCCCGACCAGUGCAUGUUGGUAAACUGGCCGUGCAAAAUCUCUUACAAUAAGAAUUCGUACUUAUUGCUGAUGCCAAUACAUCAAUACAAGGGAAUAUAAAAGGAAAUGAGAAUCAGAGUUUAAUGGGAUUUACUUGAAUUUUGGAAUUGUAAAGAAUUGCAUUGGAACUCUUCCGGUUAACUCAUUCGAUGAAAGAUCCCUGCCCAAAAAAAAAAGGAAUUUAUAAAUGGUAAAGAAUUUCACACAGUGUGCAAGCUCAGAUAGGCAUGCAAUUAUAUUUAGGCAAUAAGUCAAACAGCAGGAUUGCGAAAAAAAGGAAUUGCUUACAGUUCAGUCAACCCGCUAAUGUUUGAAAGUGAAUCCGGAAUAUGUCCAGAUAUGUGGUUACCCCUCAAUACCCUGAAGCACAGGUGAGAUGAUUAAUUUUUCUUUUCUGGAGAACAGGAAAGUGUUCACAAGAUAGUACUUUCCAAUAUAAACAGUUGUAGAACACUCAGAUAAGACAACAGCAUAAGUAACUGCUACAGAUCAAGGCAAUUCCCCAAUAAAUACAAGAACAUUUUACAUAUAUAGACAAAAAAGAAAGUUGGAAUCUUUUAGGAAGGGAAAUGCAGCCUUACAAAUGCUUUAAAUUGGACAGUUGACCCCAGGUAUUGGGUAUAGGACCUCUGAAAUUAUUGUUUGCAAGAUUUAGUUUCUGUAGUUGUGUCAUGUUGGCAAGAUAAAUGGGUAACAGGCCCGUUAGACUAUUAUCCUGGAAGUCCCUGCAUAAAUAAAGUUAUUUUAUCAAAAUUCAGAAGGAUUUUGGGACCACGGAUGGUGUUUCUGAGUAGGUAGUACUGAGACGAAUUCGUAGACAUGCGGUAGGCUUGAAUCGGAAUUGUAACGAAAAAAUUACGGGCAAAACACUAUCAGUGGCAAAACUGUAAAUAUUUCAAAAAGUUUGGUAAAAAUUAGAUUUUUCACCUCAGCUCUCUCUCUCCUCGUGCGCGCUCGACACUCUCUCUCUCCUCAGUCUCUCUCUCUCCUCGACACCGACUCUCUCUCUCCUCGGUUCUCUCAGCUCCGGCCACGGCAGGACAAGAGACCGGUCCCGAUCGAUCCACCUUGAUGUCCCGAUCAAGACCUGCCCGUUUUCCCCGUCGGAAACCACGAACUCCGGCUGCGAGCUCGACUGUUUUGAACCGGAGCUUUCUCGCUGCUGCCUCCGCCGCCCAAACCCGGUGAGUGAGCUAUGGUUUCUCAUCCAUUUUUCGAGCCCUAGCUGACUGUUGUAUAGGUUUGGACCGAUUCGUUGUCUAGGAAAUCGAUUAGAAAAUCUAGGUUUUGGCCGGAUUUCAAAAUGAAAUUUCGGCCAGUUGCCGCCCGAAUUGGACCUUCCCAUAGUUGAAUGAAGUGAUCCUGACCUUGAGUAGAAGCUAGGGUAGGAAGGGUGAGCUCGGGUGUGAAGUUUUUCCGUUCCCGGAAUUACUCUACACACCCACGCACUGCCGGCAUGUGGACAAGGCUGGUGAGGUUGUAAAUUAACCCGAUGAGAUCCUUAGGUUGUCACGAGAGCAUAGGAAUUCGCGGAUCUCAAUUCGGAUGUCGUUUGGCUAUCGAACGAAUUUUCGCAUAUUGUGCGUUAUCCAGGUUCGAUAGGUUCCGACCGUUAGAUCUUUCCCGAAUUAAAAUAUGUUGUUCUAGGUAUUCCUAGGACCAUAUGGGACUUCACGAAUUAUGAAUCGGAGCCCCAGAUGUUCCGAUUCAAUAAUGCAAAGUUUGCGGGUUAACGAUAACCGUAAAAUCGCGAACGAUUCCUAAACCUGUAAUCGGACCUUAGGAUACCUUCUUCAAUGUGCACGUAUGGGGAAUUUGGGAUUUAAGCAUUCAAUUUGUGAUUUUCGCUUCGACGUAAUUUUAUAUUAAUUAACGGUUCGUAUCUCGAAAUAGGUGUUUCGACUGCACGUACUCAGCAGGCAGGACCCUCACGUGGUCAGGAAGCGUGGGAAUACUUGUGAGUGGACUUUGUUUUCAAUCAUAUGCAUGGUUUUAAUUGAUGAAAGAUUUUUGCAUAAUGUUUUAAUGGCUUAUUGAAUAUAUAUUAUAUUCAUGAGUUGAUUAUGUUGGUUGUAUAGCGCUUGGCAAUAUAUUGUGAGUUUGGCAUUGUGGGUUUUGAGAGUGCAUUUUAUAUGGUUGUGGAGAAGUAUAUUUAUAUAUUCUCUAUAGACGAGAUACUUGGGUUGUUGAAGGGUGUUGUGGAAGAAUUUGAUUUUUGAGAGAAGUUGUAUGAUUACACUAUGUAAGUACCUUCCCCAGUUAUCAGUCUCACUCGCGGCGUUGGAUGUUCCGGCGUGUAAGACACUUUCCAUAUGUGGCGUUGGAUGUUCCGGCGUAUGAAAAGACUUUGUAUAGUGUUUAGGGUCAUCACCAUGGCGUUGGAUGUUCCGGUGUGUGCUGAUCCAGUCUGCGCGCGUAGGACAUAGUUUAGGAGCUACACAUGGCGUUGGAUGUUCCGGUGUGAGAGCUUUGGAGUUUCGUCCCCCGGUUGGACCGCUCAUCCCUAGACACAGGAUAGCACCUGAAAAUCCUACGGACUAGUCAAACGAUCCCCCAGUUGGAUUGUUUCCCCGGUACCUAGGUGGUGUGAUGAGUAUAUCGUAUAGCUAUUUAUAGUUAUAUAUAUAUGUAUAUUUUUAUGUAUACGUAUAGUUGAGUGAGUGAAGAAUUAGAGUUUUUCGGUGGUUUGACAGGAGUUGUAAGAUUGAGAGAAUGGGAUUCUUUUUUAAGGAGAUAACUGGUGUUUUAGAAUAGUUUUAAUGAAUGUUGUUUUGAGUAAUUAUUUAUUGAAUUGUGAACCUGCAUGACUUGAGCAUUAUUUUUACAUGGUGGGGUUACUAUAUUGUUUUUAACUGCAAAUCUGGUUUUUGUCCACUCACAUAUUUUCUGUUUUGCGCACCCCAGCCAGUAGUCGGUCCAGGAAGCAUGCAAGUGGUGUACGAGGCUCGAACUGUGAAUCUUUCUAGUUAGGAACUGAGUAAUUUCUUCUACUCAACUGUUCUUGUAAUCUAAAUUCAGAAGAUAUUCUGUAUUGCCCAUGGUAGAUUUUACUUGUGAGGCCGGAGGCCACUCUAGUAUGACUUGUAGAAUUAAGAAAGCAUGCUGCUGGUUGGGAUUUUUAUUUUAUGUAUGUUGCAGGUUGAAUAGUUUUUGUUGGGAUUGCUUAAUUACAGGGGAGACUCUGCCAAAUUUUUGGUAGAAUGUCUCGGUUUCUUAGUAAGUGGGCCCGGCAUCAGGAAGAUGUCGGAAUAAAGACGGGGUCCACUUCGGUUUUCGGGAAAUUCCGAGGCGGGUCCUGUCACUCUCUCUCUCUCUUGGUACCAGAGCACAAACUAGUGAUCCAAAUCAGGUUUCAGCCAAUGGAUUAUGUUACAUUUUCUGACACCAUCAGCCCCAGAAUACUAAUGCAUCAAGAAGUUGACUUACAGGCUAGCCAAAAAUUUCAGUUUAGUAAUCGAAGGAGAAAGCGUUCCAGAAAAUCCAUUUGAUGCCAGGCUCCUGCAAAGUAGUACAUUCACAAACUAAAUGUACUGCAAUGAUAAAUGAUUUUCAAAGAUGGCGAUAUUAAUAAAAUAUAUAUUUUUCAUGAUCAUAAAAUUUAGUUUAACUUACAGGGAUAUGACAUUUCCAUUUCUACAAGUGACAUGAGACCAGCUAAAACAGGGGCUAACGAGAUUAUUAUUCCAAUCUGUUAUUCGGCCACUGGAAUCAUUCAGUGCCCUAAGCAAAUCGAUCAAUGCUUCACCUGCACAUUAUCGUAAGUGAAGAACGAAAUUGUAUGUAGAACCAUAAAUGGCCGGUGAAAAGAACUUUUGUUUAUAUUACAAUUCUGAUAAAUGAAAAAUGAAAAAUUCUUGGACUUAGGUAAGGCAGAACACAGAAACCAUGUGAGCACGGCAGUAGAUAAGGUAGAACACAUAAAGCCUGUGAGCACGAUAGUAGAUAAGGCAGAAGCAAUGACAAAGGGCAAGGCCACAGCAACAACAACGACAAUGACCACAUCAACGGAAAGCAAAGCAAGCAAAGACAACAUCAACGGUGGCAACAUCGACCACAACAGAAACACACCAGCAAAGGCAUAAGCAACAAUACUAGCACCAUAACAUGCAUGAGCAACAAUACUGGUACCGAACAACAGCAAUAUAAGGCACUGGCACCAGCAAGAGCAUUAAGGCAGGGACAUAACAGGCAUCAUCAACAGUAAUCAACAUUGUCCCCAACAAGAGUCAUAAUAGGCAGGAGCAAUAAUAUUGUCCCUAACAAGAGACAUAACAGGGAUGAGCAACGGUACUGGCACCAGCAAAGGACAUAGUAGUCAGUAGCAAUAACAAUGACAAAUACUUCCAUUAUCGCACAAACAACUUAUCUUCACUCCCCCUCUUCCCCUGAAGAGAACGGGUCAUCAGAACCAUAAGAGAAGUGGCACUUAAGAAACAGAAGUUGACUGACGCUCAAAUGUAGAAGAAUCAGUCAUGGCAGAUAGGUAGCUAAAUUGCAGUGGAAUAGAUAAGCAGCGAUGUCACUCCCCCUCAAAUCCGACGAUGUAUGAGAGUCGAGAUUUGGAGAAAGCAAUACCGAAAAAUAAAGUUGCAGCACCCAAAUAAAGUUGCAUCUAUUUCCCCAUCAAAUCUGACACUGGUAAAGGGUCGAGAUUUGGAAGAAGAUAAAUUGAAAUAAUAGUAAAGAGACUCAAACAUGCCAGUCUCGUGGCAGAAACAAAUGCAAGAGGGGAAGGUGGUAGCAUACGGCUGUCCCAUGUAGAAAAAACUUUAGAAAAAGAGAAUAGUAAGGGAGGAAACCCAACAAAUCAUGAACAAAGACAAAGACAAAGAUAAGGUGCUCAAACAGGAAUUAGAGCAAAGGACACCGAAAAAAGGAAACCUUUCAUGUGUGGAAUAGGAAUAGAUAGAGUGCCCAUCAAAGGGAAGCAAUAUUAUAUAAGGGAGUUGUGAAAGCGAGAGAUAAUGCAGUGAGAAAACAACAAAAUGGAAAAGGUUGGUAAAAGAAAGAUGAGAAAUAGAGAGGACCUGAAAAGAGUUUGGUUGCAUAGCAGGGGAAACCACAUCGAUAGAUCAAAGAGGAAGAAACUAAAGAUAUUUAAAAAGUAAAGCAUGGGAAAUUGCAUGUGACAAUUUUUAAAAAGAAACUAGUGGAAGAAAGUGAGGUGCUAGAACCGAAAAAAGCAUAGAAUAACGCUGUGAUUGAAGGAAAAUAAUGACAAAGGAAGGUAUCUGUGAGGAAAUAGACAAACAGAGAAAGGGAUGAAUAUUGGAAAGAGGCCAAAGGUAGAAAGAAAUAAGCAUAAGGGUAAAAGGGAAGGAGAUAGAAAAAUAAAUAAUAAACACCCAACGGGAAAGGCUAGAGUGACAAAGCUGGAGAGAUGGCGUGGGGAAAGAACACAACAAACACCAGCCAUUGGGCAUAGACAAACAAAAGAGAUAAACAUAAAUAAAAGAGAGCUAAAUAGAGCAAAGAGAGAAACAAAGAAAGGGUGCUCAAAACUGAGAAGCAGAAAGGCAACUCAAGAGAACAGCCGAAGACGACAGAGAUUUGCAGAACAGUCAAAGGAAAGGCUCGGCGAGUGGUGACAAGGCUCGUGGAGGAAAGCAACGGCUCAGUGAGGGGUGAUGAGGCUCACGGAGUAAAAAGACCUGUUAUGAAGUUUCAAAGAUAAAGAAGCUGGGACAUCAAGAAAGACCAUCUGGCAUACAAAGAUUAAAAAUUAAAAAAUUUGGAACAAUAGCAAAGAAGCAUGUGAAGGCUAGGUGUGGUGAAAACACAUAUGAGAGGAUUGAUCAAAAGAAGAUGACUAUACAAGAUGAAGACCUAUGAUGGGUUAGGAAUGAGGAGUGCCAACGACUCUCAAUUUGACAGAGGUUAUCACAUGUUAGAAACUAGGCUCUGAUACUAUGUCAAACAAAGUAGGGUAAAUAUUCAAUUAUGCUCAGAUACGCUCAUAUUUUUACUCUUCUCCAAUAUGGAGGUAUUUAUACAAGUACAAAGCUGUGUUAACCCUAAAUAAAAUAAGAAAUAUAUCUAAAUUACAAUAGGAAGUAAAUCUCUAUUACAAUAGGACUAAAUAAUAAUUGAUAAGUAACCAAAAUUCUAAUAAAAUUAGGAACCAAAAUCCUAAGUAAGUAAGGAACCAAAAUCCUAACUAAAUAAGGACUUGCUAACAGCACAAUCUUGAUGCACUAUGAGAAUCGAGGCGCUGGCCACAAUGUUGGACGAUGCCAAUGCAUCUCCCAAGGGUCCGAGCUCCGGGCAGUCACCCCACUCGGAUAGCCCGAACAUGAGUGGUGAGGAACCUGUUUGCCCUCUUCCCACGAUAUAAAGAUCAUAGUCAUUUCCCAUGGCGCUUAUCAAUUUGAGAGUUUCUUCUCCAUUGUUCAACACCUCGUGAAUUAAUUUUAUGGAAGGUUGGUUCCUAGUAUUGAGCACAAAGCUCUCUAUAUAUUGGUCAUCUAGUUGUUUCUCCUUCUCAUUUUCCUCUAUCACCUCUAAAAUAUUCUUCUUUUCGUCCUCAUCAUGAUCGUGAUCAUUAUUAUUAGGAUUGUUGGGAGGGAGAUCUGAAUGAACUGCCGCAUCUUUACUGACGAUGAAAACAACCACAGUUAAGCUGAUAUUAGGUUUAGGGUUAGGAUUGCUGGCCAUCCUCCAUGCAUAUGCCAAUGCCUCGCGGUCAUCUGACCCACUAAUGAAGAGCAUGGCACAGCGGCAGCAGCCAUGGCCAUCUUCAUUUUUAAUGUUAGAUGAAUCGGUGAGUCCACGAUCCACGAAGAUGGCCACUAAACAAGAAGCGUUCUCUAGAAGGUUCUUGUUAAUGCCUCUAAAAGAGGGGUUUCCGUUGUCCAUUCCCCCGUCAAUGGUGGAUUGCUUGUGGAAAGGAAUGAUUAUGAGGUCUGCACUCUUGUCGUCCGCAAGAUUGCAAAUGUCCUCAUGCAUGGAGGCGUAAGAGGACACAACAGUUAGUGCCUCCACGAACAAGCUGCUUUCUUCACUUUCGGUCUCAAGUUUUUCAAAAGAAGCGACAAUUUGGUCAGAAGGCGAAGAGUGCUUUUGAUUUUUGGUUGUAAUUUUACUUGUCUUACGAAUAUUGCUGCAUGUGUCGUGGACUAUGAGCAUGGCAGAAGCAUGGCCACUGAGCUCCCUCAGAUGGACCGCAAAGAUGAACAUCGGGGAUUGUUUGGUGGGAUUGGAAAUCUCCAACAGAUUGAUGACGCUUGAAACAUUGCUUGUUGAAUGGAAGCAAGUAAGGAUUCGAAACUCUGAGUUGGGUUGUAUGCUUCUUAUGCUUCUGUGCGUGUGCUGCUUAGAUGGCACAUUCGACUUGUAAAUCAAAGCCGAAAUGGGUCCAACCGCUGCCGUCAUUAUCAAAAUUGCAAGCAUCAUUACUGAAAAAGUAUUGUGGUCCAAAACCUGCAUUUAUAUAUAUAUAUAUAUUUGCCAAUUAAAACAAUAUAAAAUCAGGAAUUUAACCUGCAAAAUUAUAUAUAUAUAUACACACACACAAAAGAGAGUAUUAAUUAGUUAUUAUUGUACGUUAAUUCAUGAAAAUGAAAUGGUGAUGAUGAAUAGGUAGGACCUAAAGAGAGUAGUUAGCUGAUUAGAUUAGUUUGUUAUUAGUUACUCUUGUAAGUGAUUAGUUAGAGCUGUUGUAACAGCCUGUACAGGUGGCUUUAUCUAUUGUAUAGAGUAGACAAGUGUUAUAUACUCUUCUGUAAUCUUUUCUCAAUUAAUUAAAUGAGAAUCAUAAAUUCCUUUAUGGUAUCAUACGCCUAUUCGAUCCUCUCUCCCUUUUCUUCCAACCUGUGAUUUUCUCACCAACCAAACAGUGCUUUUCUCAUCAACCAAACAGUUUCUUCCGCUCUAAUUCUCUGAUUUCCAUGGCUUCUAAGACCAAUUCUUCUUCUUAUGCGCCUUCUGUCUCUCUCACAUCGUCUUCAAUCCCUGCUUUUGCGACUGUUACUGUUCAAAACAUCGCAGGCAUGGUUCCGAUCAAACUUCAAGCUGGCAAUUAUUUGUUGUGGAAGAAUCUUUUUCUUCCUGUUCUUCGCAAAUACAAGCUCCUUGGCCUUCUCACCGGUGCUGAUCUGCGGUCGUCGAAGACAAUUGUUAACGAUGCUGGUUGCAUUGUUGAUAAUCCCGCCUUCGAUCUGUGGUAUGAUAAGGAUCAAUCACUCAUGAUCUGGAUCAUCUCUACUCUCUCGACGGAUUUGCUAUCUCAUACGGUUGGCAUUGAGUAUUCUCGUGAUCUCUGGGAGAUGUUGGAAAAACAUUUUGCUGGAGUCUCUCGUGCAAAUGUUCAUCAUCUUCGUCAGCGUCUUCAGAAUCUUGUCAAAGGGGAUCUGUCUAUGGUUUCCUAUCUGCAACAGAUGAAGGAAAUUGUUGAUGGCUUGGGCGAUGCUGGAUAUCCUCUAACUGAUGAUGAUUUGGUGGCUUACAUUCUUGCAGGUCUCUCUGAAGAGUACGAUUCCUUCGUCACUUCUAUUGAAACUCGUCGGGAAAAAGUUUCCUCUGAUGAACUUCACGGUUACCUUCUCGGUCGUGAAGCUGCUCUUCUGAAGCGCAAACUCCGAUCCAAUUCCUCUGGACCUACGGAACCGUUUCAUGCUUAUGCCGCCACUCCUCGUUCUUCACAGCACUUUUCUCGCUCACGUGGUUCCAACAACUCUUAGCACUUUUCUCGCUCACGUGGUUCCUCCCACUCGUGGUCUGCUUCCGUCACCGCCUUCCAAUUUUGCCCCAAAUUUUUCUUCUCCUCCACAAUUUGGUGCGCAAGGGUUUCACAGCCCCAAUUUUUCUCGAAAUUCAAUCCCUGGGGGUGGUAAUUCCAAUUUAGGAGGUUCUUCUUCAUUCAAUUCUGCUGGUUUUUCUUCUGGCCCUGUUCUUGUGUGUCAGUUCUGCAACAAGAAAGGUCAUGCCGCUAACACUUGUCGCAAAUUGGGCCGUCUGCUCAAUGCUUCUAGCAGUUCUUCAUCUUCUGGACCAUUUACUGGCUACUAUGCUAAUCCACAGUGUGCUGCUUCCUCUCCUUCUUGGAUUGUUGACUCUGGCGCUACUGCUCAUGUGACUGCUACUAAUCAGCACCUGCAGAAUUCUUCUCCAUUCACUGGCUCUGACUCUUUGCAAGUUGGUAAUGGUAAUUGCUUACCAAUUUCUCACACUGGUUUUACUCGCAAACACACUCCUUCUGCUGUUUUUACUUUAAAGGAUGUGUUACAUGUUCCUUCUAUUAAACACAAUUUGUUAUCGGCAAAUAAGUUUCUUCGUGACAACUCUUGUUCACUAACGCUCUAUCCUGAUUCCUUCACAAUUAAGGACUUAGCUACGAAGAGGAUGCUCUUCCAAGGUCUCAGUGAGGAUGGUGUCUAUCGACUUCCUACUGGUCCUGCAGCUCCUUUUUCAUCAAGUCCUUCAAUUGCUUUUCUGGCUAAUAAAUGUGAUAUCCUCACUUGGCACAAGAGGUUGGGUCAUCCUCACUUUUCUUUAUUUCGCAAGAUUGUUAGUGGCAAUCAUCUACCUGUUAGUGGUGACUUGUCUGAGUCCUUAAUAUGUUCUGAUUGUAUGGUUGGGAAAGCUCAUAAGCUUCCUUUUGUUAGUUCUGCACAUAAGUCCACCAAGCCUUUAGAGCUUGUGCAUUCGGAUGUUUGGGGUCCCAGUCCCACUGUUUCAGCUCUUGGUUAUAAGUACUAUGUUUUGUUUCUGGAUGAUUACACUAAAUACGGCUGGUUGUAUCCUUUGAAAUAUAAAUCAGAUGUGCUUGCAACUUUUAAAGUGUUUAAGGCCAAGUUAGAAAACUUGUUGAACUCUAGGAUCAAGAUCUUGAGGAGUGAUUCGGGUGGUGAGUACUUAAGUACUGCUUUCCAAGAUUUUUUAAACACAGAGGGUAUUGUGCAUCAGUUGAGUUGUCCACACACCCCUGAACAGAAUGGCAGUGCCGAACGCAAGCACAGGCAUAUUGUUGAGCUUGCUAGGACACUGUUUGCUUCUUCUUUCCUUCCACAUCGCUUUUGGGUAGAUGCUUUUCAAACUGCCUUGUAUCUCAUCAAUCGGUUACCCUUUACUUCUUCUGCACAGUCUCCUUGGGAAUUGUUGUUUAAACACACUCCAAAUUAUACUACUUUGAAAGUGUUUGGUUGUCUCUAUUUUUCUUGGUUACAACCAUAUAGUUCCUCAAAGUUGGAUCCUAAAAGCAGGCCUUGUGUCUUUCUUGGAUAUAGCUUAAAUCAUUCCGGUUAUAGAUGUCUAGAUAUUUCUCCUGGCAAGCUUUUUAUUUCCAGGCAUGUUCUUUUUAAUGAAACAUCUUUUCCUUUUGCAACCCAAGCUCCCUCUGUUUCAUCUUCUCCUAUCUCUGCUUCUUCAGUUCCUAUUUCUCUUACUUUUUCUUUCCCGAUUUCUCCUACUUCUCCUUCCUCUUCACAAUCCCCUAGUUCCAUUUCUCCUUCUUCUGAAUCUGUUCUUUCUUUACCUUCUCAAGAACAAAUCCUUCCUUCUCUCCCUUCUCAGGAAUCUGUAGUUCCUUCUUCUCCUAAUCGUCAUCCUAUGGUUACUCGAUCAAAAAGUGGAAUUUUAAAGCCCAAGGCUCUCUCUGCAACUAAGCACCCUAUUCCUACUUUUGUUCAGUCUACUACUUUAAUUCCUCCUACUCCUCAGACUUAUAAGCAAGCAGCAACCCACAAAGUUUGGAUUGCUGCCAUGGCCUCUGAAAUUGCUACUCUUCAAAAGACUCAGACAUGGACCCUGGUCCCUCCCAAUCCCUCUUAUAAUUUAGUGGGUUGUAAGUGGGUUUUUCGGACCAAGUUUAAAUCUGAUGGGUCUGUUGAUAAGUUCAAAGCUCGUUUGGUUGCUAAAGGGUACAAUCAACAGGAAGGUAUUGAUUUUCAUGAAACUUUUAGCCCCGUGGCAAAACCUGUUACUAUUCAUCUUUUGUUAUCCUUAGCUGUGCAAUAUGAUUGGUUCCUUAAUCAACUUGAUGUCAGUAAUUCUUUUCUGCAUGGGUUCUUGAAGGAAACUGUGUAUAUGAGCCAACCACCAGGUUUUCAUGAUCCCUCCAAGCCUGAUUUUGUUUGCAAGUUGAAUAGGAGUUUGUAUGGUCUUAAGCAGGCGCCCCGGGCUUGGUAUGAGGAGCUCUUUAAAGCACUUAUUUCUCUGGGUUUCAGAUCAUCACAAGCUGAUUCCUCAUUGUUUAUUAAGGGUGGCUCUUCUUUAAUCCUAGUUUUGGUUUAUGUCGAUGACAUUAUUGUGACUGGGAACAAUAAUGCAGCCUGUCAAGCUCUUAUUCAGCAACUCAGUGAAAAAUUUCCUGUCAAAGACUUGGGUCCUUUGCAUUUUUUCCUUGGGUUAGAGGUUAAACGCACUGCUUCUGGUUUAUUCUUGUCUCAGACUAAAUAUGCUUGUGAUCUUCUCCAGCGAACUGAUUUUCUUGGUGCCAAACCAUGUGCCACUCCCUUGGGGUCCUACAAAUUGGACAAUUCUGGAAUGUUGCUUUCUGAUCCUACUUUCUAUAGAUCUACAGUUGGUGCUCUUCAAUACUUGACAUGGACACAGCCUGAUUUGUCCUUUGCUGUAAAUUUGGUAUGUCAUCAUCUUCACCAACCUCGCACUAAUCAUUUGGGUGCUGUAAAGAGAAUCCUUAGAUAUCUUAAAGGUUCUCUUGAUAUGGGAAUCUGUUUUCGCAAAGGUCCCCUUGUUAUGCAGGCCUAUUUUGAUGCCGAUUGGGCAGGAUGCCCCUUGGAUCGUCGGUCUACUAGUGGUUGGUGUGUUUUUCUUGGUUCAAAUUUAAUUUCUUGGUCUGCCAAGAAGCAACCUACAGUUUGUCGCAGUUCUACUGAAUCUGAGUACAGAGGUAUUGCCAUGACUGCUGCUGAACUUGUUUACAUUGCUAAGCUGUUUAAAGAUAUUGGUUUUCAGCUUCCUUCUGCUCCGUUACUUUGGUGUGAUAAUCAAUCUGCCCUUCAUUUGGCUUCUAAUCCUGUUUUUAGUGCUCGCACAAAACAUGUUGAGGUUGAUUAUCAUUUCAUCAGGGAGUUGGUUCAGCAUGGUAUUCUUCAUUUACGGUUUGUUGACACUACUAAUCAGCUCACAGUUAUCUUUACAAAGUCUCUUCCUUCUGCGCCGCCACGAGCUUCUUGGUUUGGACUUGGCUCGAUGUCAUCUUCUUUGAGAAGCCUUCCGUCAUUGGAGCUGUCCAAGGAAUGAUCACUGGCCUCGUCUGCAUUACUCCUGCUGCAGGUACGAAUUACGUAAGUUCUCAAGUUGACUUUUUUCCCGCUUUUCAAACUUUGACCCAAAAAAAAACAAAGCAAAGUUGACUUAUAUUUAUCAUCCCAAUUAAUAAAAACAAAAUUAAUAUACUUACUUACUCGUCACAAAACGCAAUGCCUUCCAUUAAUUAAUCCAGAAAAAUUAAGUUUAUUUGACUUUUCACUACUUAUAUUUACGUUCCCUCACAGAACACGUUCUAGUUCUAUUUGGUAUCCUACUUGGAUCCAAUUUUAUAAACUCAAAAACAAAUUUGAAGUUUACAACCACAAAAACCCGUUUGAAAUGCCCCUUUUUAAAAACUCAAACUCAAGAAAAAUUCAAAAGCACCCUUUAUUAAAAACAAAAAAAAUGAGGUUUUAUAGUUUUUUUCUCUCUCCUCCCUCUCUCUCCUUCCUCUUCCGUCACUCCUUCUCUCUCCUCCCUCUCCCUGUCUCUUUCUCUCUCCUUCCACUCCUCUCUCUCUCUCUCUCUCUCUCUCCCCCCUUUUAUUUUGGAGGUUUCAAUUUGGGAAUUUAGGAUUUCUGAUUUAAAUUUCAAUUUUUUUAGAUCUUAAAAAUAGUUUGGAGUUCAAUACCAAAAAAGUUUUUAAAUCUUAAAAUCACCAUUUGAAAACUCAUAUUUUAAAAAAGAAUCAUAGUUUUUGAAAUUUUUUUUUUUUUUUUUUUUUGAGUAGGAUACCAAACAAGGCCAAUUUCCAAAAAAAAUUCUCAUAUGGUUCUCUAACGUUUUCUCUAAAUAUAUUUGCAUCUCUUUUUCUUUUUUUCUAUAUAUUAUUUAGCCAGUUUUUAACAGGAGAGGUGACUCAUGGCAUGUUGUGUUGACCAUGCACAGUCAUUUAAUUAACCAUAUUAACUAGCUAGCUUUUAUUUUAGUUUUGUUUGUUCAUAUACUGAUACAAUAUUAUUGUUUAAAUAUGUAAAUUAUUUAGGUCUGGUUCAAGGAUGGGCCGCUAUAGUGAUGGGAGUUAUGUCAGGCAGUGUGCCAUGGUUCACCAUGAUGAUAGUGGACAAGAGGUGGAAACUGCUAUCCGCAGUUGACGACACCCUUGGUGUAGUUCACACCCAUGCCGUGGCCGGGUUUCUUGGCAGCGUUUUAACGGGGCUUUUCGCUGAGCCUUGAACUAUGUGCACUCUUUUGCCCGUCACAAACUCGCGCGGAUGCGUGUACGGAGGCUCAGGAGGAAUGCAAAUCCUCAAACAAAUUGUGGGAGCCCUAUUUAUCAUUGGAUGGAAUAUUGUGGUCACCUCCAUUAUUUGCCUAGUCUUACGGUGUAUAGUUCCGUUGCGCAUGCCGGAGGAACAGUUGCUGAUUGGGGAUGACGCAGUGCAUGGAGAAGAGGCAUAUGCAUUGUGGGGUGAUGGGGAGAAGUAUGAUGUUACUAGGCAUGAACUUUGCUCCGAUGAUACGUCACACGCUCAAAAAUAUCCAUCCAGUGGUGCCACUCAGGUGGUCUAACUCAAAGUUAUAUAUUAUUUAUGUUAAUAAUCUGUUCCAAAAAGAAAAAAGAAAAAAAAGGCCAAAAAUGAAAAGAAGAAAAAACGAAGUACGAAAAAUAGGUGUUAUUGUCAAUUAUUAUCUUAUUUUCUAGUGAUCUUUUCAAUGUUUUAUGUAAACUGCCUAUUGACUCCGGUAAUUAUUAUGCACUUUAUUCAGCAAAAUUUGGAACACCAAACCAUUUUUAACAUGUUUAAGAUUAUUAGCCCCUUUUUUUAAUUUACAAAAUAUAAUCACUAGAGCCCUCUCGAAU